This 57333-nucleotide long non-coding RNA is filed under the name Triticum aestivum (bread wheat). RNAcentral describes it as "long non-coding RNA (TAES_LNC023564)". The record is from RNAcentral. Lineage: Eukaryota; Viridiplantae; Streptophyta; Magnoliopsida; Poales; Poaceae.
AAAAAUGUCAAAUGAAAUUUAUACAAACUGGAUGUCAGACAAUCUACAAUAAAGCAUUACAUCAACCAUGACACAGCAGAUGAACCAGCUUGAAUUUAUCCAAACGACAAACAACAAGUCUUCAGACUCUGUCACACACGCCAGGUAAUAACAACAUAACAAUUCACCAAGGUUCCGAUUGACUGACUAUAACGAUAGUACGAGCAAAGCUACUGCAGAAACGAGUACCACGACGGCCUAAAGAGCGAACUAGACGGCUUCUGCUACAACCAAACCAUACAAAUACUAUGCCUCCCCGAAAGAGCAGAGAUUCAGAGGGCGCGACCAAGACGAACCAAUCACCUGAACUUCGGCUUCUUCGAGGGCGGCCCUCCCUUGGAGCUACUGGGAGGCGGGCGAGACUUGUUGCCGCUGCUGCUGCCACCACGCUGCGGCAGCGGAGCAUGCUUGCUGCUGCUAGGACCACGCUGCGGUGGUGCGCCCGACUUGCUGAAGGUCUUGACCUUGCGGCGCCUCCUUUCUUCCUCGCUGUCAGACUCUGCGCCAUGAUCCCGGUCCGCGUUGGUCGCCUCCCGCUCCAGCUCGUCCCAGGUCUUGCCCUUCUCUUCCUCAGAGUCUUCAUCAGAAUCCUCUUCCUCAUCCUCGUCUGAUUCCACCAAGGACGCGCUGUCGGAGUCUUCCUCUUCUGAUUCAGACUCAGGCUCAGCAUCAGAAGGCUCAUACCCCUGGUCCGAUUCCUCUGUUUCCUCUGCCUCAGAAUCACUUGCCUCCAUGUUCAGGAACUCCCAGCCACCAUCGUCAACAAACUUCUGAGGAUCAUCAAUGAUAGUCUUCAGGAUAGGACGCCAGUUCAGAUUCAGCCUGCUCUCAUAGUACUUGAGAUCAGUGGUGUCCAGCCACUCCUUUAUAGCGUCAAGUGAGGUUGACGGGAUGGAGUCGAUGCGGAGAACAUCCUUCUUGAAGUCCUUGAACACGAUAGCCAUGUCAAAGUUCUUUGUUCCAAAGCCCACCCUCUCCAGAUUAACAAUCUCUAUCUCACCCAGGGUCACCACCAGGAAGGGGGUCUCAAUCAGCUCAACCAAGCAAGUUGAAGUUGGAAUGAUGAAAGCUGAAGCUUUAUACGGCACCCCAUGGAACCCGAGCUCUCUAAGAGGGAUAUCAAACUCCAGAUCAAGCCCCUUGAACUGUGGUUGCGACCAGUGGUCAUUAACCUUGUUGAUAUAGUUCUGGAACUCCAUGUUGAUUCUGUUCUUCCGGUCCCUCUCACGCUGCUCUUCUUCAAUCUCAUCAGGAUCAAGGGCUGACCUCCUGCUGCCACCAACAGUUUGAACAACAUCCAUCACUUCAACAUAAAACUGGACAUCCUUCGUCUUCUUGUUUCCAACCAUGAUAUGGUUGUGCAGAUGGAAAUGAAGGAGGGUAAUCAUUUCUUUCUCUGCUGGCUGGAAGAAAGCAUGUUUUAUAUUCCCGUACAUGAUAUCCACACGCUCAUCAGCCCGUGAAGUGGAAUAUCUGAAACCAUUAACAUGGGCCUCAAGAGUUCCUGUCAGCUUUCUCCCACGACCACCAAAUGGAGGCCUUAUCCAGACAUCAUUAAGCCUCAUUUGCUUUGUUUUGUUGCUUGCCUGCUGGAGCUUCUCCUGGGUAACAAGGGUGGCCCUUUCAGCUCUCUCUGACUCCCUUGAAGCUACUUGCCUCCUCAAUGUUUUGAUCUGCUGCACAACUUCACUGCUAUGCCGUGGAUCCUUCGAGCGGAAUGUAAUCUCUUUCAAGUAGAUAGCUCCUUGAGACUUCAGAUCUUUGUCAUUUGAGAAUGGCAUGCCAGGUACAUUGAAGAAAAUGCGGAUAGUGCAGGUGCGGUUGUCCUGGUGGCUGGUCACACUCUUAACAGUAGAAACAUGGAAAGGGACCAUACUGCCAUAUAUAGGUAAGAGAACAGCUUCAUUCCUCUGAUCUACUUGUAUCACCAACUCUCUCGAAUAAGGUACAUCAUUCACAUUCUUGUACGCAACAAGCUCAUUUGAAUUCCUAGAAGGACCACGGCCAUCACCAUUACCAGAACCACCCCCAGCAAGCCUUCUAGCAGUCUCUUCAUUCUUUUGACGAGCAAGUUCAGCCUGGUGCUGUCUCCGGAGCUCUUCCUUGGACAUCUCCUGGUUGUCUGACCGAAGUGUUGCCUUGGAUGGUAGUGCUUCCACGCCAUUUGGCUCAACCUUAGCCCGCUUCGGCUUCGGAACUUCCUCCUCAUCUUCAUUAAAUGAAUAUGCAACAUCUUUAACAGCCUUGGAGCAAUUGGUCAAGAUCUCUGCAGCCUUGUCAUUAACUAAAGCUGUAUCAGCUAAUAACAAAGAGAACUGCUUUGUCUUCUCAUUGUUUGUUUCUGCCUGUAUAUUACUCAAACCAAGGUUGACAUUGAAAAUCAUUCCCUCUUUUAUCAGACGGUCAUUCUUGGCAUUCAAGUUUAAGCCAGAUUCUCGGAACUCAAGGCCAAUUCCAGUUCCAGCUGACUUUGUUAGAUUAGGAAGCAGUUCAGGGGCAUUCUUCUCAAACACUGCAACUGCAGCCUUAAAAACUGCAGACAUCUGAUUGCCUGGUUUACAUGCUGCUAAAGCAGCUUCCUGAGCUUUCAGAAGUGUCUCAUACGCCUUACUCUGUGCCGGGGUAGCAUCUAUCAAAAAUGUUCUGGCAACAUUGGAACAGUAGUUACUGUACCUGGACCCAAUUGCACAGAUGAUGAUACUUGCAGGAUCAUAGUAGAGAUAAUCAUCAUUGCUGGAGGCACCUGGCCUAAGAUCAAACUUCCCUCCACUUUGGAAGACAGGAGGGUAGCAUAUAUCAAUAUUUUCAGGCUUCAACUUCACCUUGGCCUUCAAAGGAUCAAGAAUAACCUUCUCUGUGUCAUCCAUCAAUGAGGAGUGUGAGACUUUUCUCUCCUCAUCAAUAACCUUCUCCAUGGUCGGUACCACAAAGUUUUUCAUCACAGAUGAAGUUAGGUAAGCAGCCUUCUUCACACAUAUGAUCUCUGUGGCGUCUUUCACGGCAAAAAGCUCAGAAAACCCAUGUGUUACGUCUGCAAGUUGUACAGAUCCACCAGCUAACUUUUCUGCCCAUGUUUCAAGGAGCUUACCCUCAGGUGCCUCUUUUGCAAUGUGACCAACAACUGGAGUGUCAGAUUUCGACUGAGCAGAAACAGCACGCAGUAUGUCAUCCAUCAGGUCAAUGCCAUCCCCAUUCUUGCUUUUCACAUGCAAGAUAAUAUCAGAACCAACAGCCUCACUUGCAGCAUCCUUGAGGGUUCCAAUGAGAUUUGCUUUCUUCUGGCUGCAUAAGAAAUGUAUCUGCUUCUGCAUGAAGACAAUUAUGGUUUCUGGAAAUUCAUACCCAAGUAACCAAACAUCCAGAGCUGUGGACUUCAAAUAACGGAGAUCCUCAGAAGGAGGCGGAGUAGCAAUUGCAAUGGCAUCAGAAGAAGCCCAAAGAUCAGACUUGUUUCCGUUCCAAUGGUCAUAAAACACCUUAAGCCGCUUACUGAAGGUCUCUAGAUUGAUUGUAUAGGCUGCUCCUGAGCCUGACUUUGCUUUACCAUUGUCUGUCAUCUUUACCACAAAGCACACAUUAACCAAGCCAACUGCAGGAAAAUUGAUGAUAAUUAGAUAAUGCAAUCGUCUGACAAAUACCAGUUUACACUAUCAAAGGCAUUGGAUGUUCAGAAAAUAUUUCAAGUCCCAGAUAAAUACCUCACAGAAAAAGAGGAGUGACAAUCCAGGACACCAAGGCUUAAUUGCUUAUCACAACCUUUUUAUCCUGGGAACAAAGCAAGCAAACUGAGUCAAUUGUUCUGAAUUAAUACUGGAAAAACAAGAAAUACAGUGUUGUAUCACUCCAAACACUGCCAUACUGGUUAGCAUAGAAGCACCAUAUGUUUUGAGACAAAACAAUACAUAUAUCUUCAUAAUAAUUUCUUGCAGUGUUAAACGCAUCGGUAAUAUAGAUUUAGGCCAUCAAGAAUGAAUUGAAGUCUCGUCAUUAAAACAGCAUGAACCGCUAACAUGGGUUAUGAAUCCAGGGGGAAAAACAGUCAUCUUAUGUGUUUAAUAUGAACAUGAUGAAAUCUUUUGCCUAUUUCCAAACUUAGGUCAAAGAUAACUGUCCAUGAUAUUCAGUAUCCACACAUGAGUAAUGACGCCAUACUUCAGGGAAAUAAACUAGUUCAAGCAAAUGAAGGUUAUUUGCUGUCCAAUACCAGUUUACACUUGUGCAGAAAAUACUUCAAGUCCAAGACAAAUACCUCACAGAAGAAGUGGAGUGAUAGUCCAGAACAUCAAUUCUCAAUUUCUUAUCACAGCCUUUUUAUCCUGAAAACAUAGUGUGCAAACUGAUUCAAUUAUUCUGAAUUAAUAAUGUGAAAAGAAGAAAUCCGACCUGCGAACAAGAAUUCAGGAUAAAAAAGUCAUCUAAUCUGUGAAUUGAACAUGAUGAAAUCUUUUGCCUAUUUCCAAACAGAGGUAAAGACAACCCUCCAUGAUUUCAGUAUCUGUACAUGAGUAAUGAUUCCAUACUGCCAUCACUGCGAGUACUGAAGAUCCAGAGCGCUCAUAUAGUGCAAGACAACAGUGCAAGUUCCAAUAAAAAAUAAAAAAAUAUUAAUCCGUCUAAUUUAGUCCUUUUCGAGAAGAACUCGGUCGAAUUUAGUCCUUCAAAAAGCUGUAUGACCAGAUAAACAAUUAUAUCAGCGAAACUAGUGCGAAAAUCAAAGAGCAAAACAUGUGACCAGACACGCGAAUCUGAUCGUACCAACACGGGCCUGUUUCCUCGAGGUUCUAGGGUUACGCCGCGACGACGCGGGCGACGGUACGCGCAAACCCUAGCUCGAAUUCCCCGCAACCGAACCGCGGAAAUUUCACCGUAGCACGUCAGAUCCGGCCGAAGCGGGGAACGCUGGUAAGGGUACGGGUACGGGGUCGGGGAGGCGGCGGCGGACGGCGAGGCCGGGCAACCGCGGGGGGAGGGUGGGUACGGGGCGGUGAGGAGGCGGUGAGGAGGCGGGAGGGGAGGCGAGGGGAGGGGAGCGGUACCUCGGCGAUCGGCGAGGCGCGGCGCGGCGCGGGGAUGGGCGCGGGCGUCCGGAUCUGGGCCACCGGCGAGGGCUGGGGGCCGUGGGAGGGGGAGGAGGAGGGGAUGGGGGCGGCGACGGGGGGGAGAAAAAGGAUUGUGGGGAGGGGAGGGGGGGCUGACGGCAGGAUGAGGAGAGCGGCGGGAAAUGGGUGCGGGAGUGCCCUAGCUUCGCGCGGGCUGCAGGCCCGUUUCCGCGGCUCUUUUUCGCGAUUUUCAGAUGCGGCGCCGCCCAAUGGCGGUUUUCAUUUUUUAAAUAUUUUAUAUCACUCGGCUAGGCAAAAUUUGGCCCAUGGGUCACCCCGACCUGCCCCGCGGGCUGAGCGAGGCAGGGACGAUGGGUUUGUGAUGACUUUGUCAAUCUUGAAGCUCUGUAAUUCUGGUCUGGUUGUUGGUAUACAUUGUAUGUUGAGGUUAGAGGUGUGAAUGUGUAGGUGACUCGAGUGAGAGCAAUGUCAAUUGUAUGGCCCAUACCGUUGCCUUCCCCUGGAGCCAACUAGCUCGGAUGCCAAUGUGAACUGUCGGUUGCUCCGGGUGAAAAGCCAGGGAAACAGAGGGGAAGAGGAAAGAGGGAGUGUGGCCGGGACGUAGCGCAUGUGUGCUAGCGUAUGUGUGUUUGGUUUCGGACGAGGGUUGUGUUGAUGGUAUGGCCCAAUACCGCUACCCCCCCUUCCCCAACUACACACACAAACCUAGAUCCAACUAGGCUCGGAUGCCAUCUGAAGAGCUUGGAUGCUGCAACAAAAGGCACAUGUAUAGAAAGGGGAAAGAAAAGAGAGAGUGUGGUCCAAACCAAGUGCGCACGAAAUGGUCCACACACAGAUUACCUUGAGUUCUCCGCUUGCAGAUCCUUAAGCUCGUCUGUCUGGCCACGGGCUCGAUCUAGUCCCAGGCCAGACCUGCCAUGACCGGAUUUCGGCAGAAAAUGACGCGGCGGUACUGUAUCUGGGAGGAACACAGUCGUCCCCGAUCUGCGCCGGCCUUGCUCGGUUGAGAUGGUGCGCGGUUGGACGAUCACGCAAAUGGGUUCCGGCAGGAACGCAAUGUACAACUUGUACCAGCCAUAGAUCCAGAUCUGGGGCACCGAUAGAAAUAACACGAGGCAGAGGCGAUGGAUCCAGGAUUUUUUUCAUGCCAGCGAGCACGGGUUGGUGGUUGUUAUAUAAUAGAAGGAAAAAAAAGCAAGGAAACACAAGGUGGAAAAGGAAACAUAUAGUGUGGUCCGGACGUAGCGGCAAUACCUUGAGGUCCAUCUGGCAAUGGCGUUGAACUGGUUGAACGCGAGAUCCGGGAGAAAAUGGCGCGGCGGUGCUGGAUCUGGGAGGAACGCGGGCGUCCCAGAUCCGUGCCAACUUUUCUUGAUUGAGAUCGUGCCUAGGCACACCAUCACGCAGUUGGAUGCCGACAUAAAUGAAUGAGUGACAUCUUGUACCAACCAUCGCACAUCCUUGAAGUGCACCCAGAAAAAGAGCGCAAGAAAUAGAUCCAGAUCUGGCCACCGACAAAAAAACAUGAGGCAGAGGUGAUGGAUCCAAGAAGUUUCGUGUCAGAGAGCACGGUUGGUGGUGGUUAGGUAAUAGAAGGAAACAAAAGGAAGGAAACACAAGGCGGAAAAGGAAAGAUGUAGUGUGGUCCGGACGUAGCAGCAAUACCUUGAGUUCGCCAGACACAUAGCCUUUAGCUCGUCCAUCUGGCAAUGGUCUUGAUCUGAUUGAACGCGAGAUCGGACAGAAAACAGCGCAGCGGUGCUGGAUCUAGGAGGAACACGGUCGUCCCCGAUCUACGCCGACUUUUUUCGGUUGAGAUCGUGCCCAGGCGCACCAUCACGCAGUUGGAUGCCUAUAUAAACGAAGGAGUGACAUCUUGUGCCAGCCAUCGCACAUCCUUGAAGCGCACCCAUGAAGAGAGCGCAAGAUUGGAUCCAGAUCUGGGAACUGGUAGAAAAAACAUGUGGUAGAGGCGAUGGAUCCGGGAAUUUUUCAUGCCAAAGACUACAGUUGGAGGUGGUUAGGUAAUAGAAGGAAAAAAGCAAGGAAACAGGAGGCGGAAAAGGAAAGAUAUAGUGUGGUCCAGACGUAGCGCAAGUGAGCACGCCAUGGUCGGUGCCUGCAAUACCUUGAGUUCGCCGGCCACAUAGCCUUUAGCUCGUCCAUCUGGCAAUGACCUUGAUCUGGUUGAACACGAGAUCUGGUACGGCGCGUCGGUGCUGAGUCUGGGAGGAACACUGUCGUCCCCGAUCUUGAUCGACUUUUUUCGGUUAAGAUCAUGCCCAGGCGCACCACUGCGCAGUUGGAUGCCGAUAGAAACGAAUGAUUGACAGCUUGUACCAGCCAUCGCACAUCCUUGAAGCGCACCCAGGAAGAAAGCGCAAGAAUGGAUCCAGAUCUGGGAACCGGUAGAAAAAACAUGCGGUAGAGGCGCUGGAUCCGGCAAUUUUUUGUGCCAGAAAGCACUGUUAGCGGCGGCUGGGAUCGUACAGAGAGAUGGAUAUGGAAAGCGGGUUUGGGAAAGAAGAUGCGUACGAGGAAGAUGGAUCUGGAAUAUUGUAGUUUAGAGAAGGAGGGGAGUAUGGCCCUUGUGAGGUUGUAGUCUCGGCUUGUGUGUGGGGGGUAUAGAGUAUAACCUAUCGCCUCGUUUUAUCAUGUCUAUGUGGAUGUGUGGUGCCACCUAGCCCCUGCCCUGGUAGUGUGGGGGGCCGGCCCGUGGUCUCAUGGUGUGUCGGGGAGGCCCAUCAAGGAAAGCAAGAAAAAAAAGGUGGGAGGAAAAGGGAGAGGAAAAGGAGGCGAGAAAUAUCUGCUAAGAUUUACCAUUGUGUCAGUUGGUUGGACUAGGCAGCCCGUCGCUCCCUGGCAAUUGGAGCAACCACGGCAGAUUGAGCACCCCUUGUGGUGGAUCUUGACCAAAUCGAGCGCCCCAUGCAGUGGAUCUCGGCCAGAUCAAGCGCCCUAGCGGUCGGAGGGAGCUCCACCACGGCUAGAUCGAGCGCCCUAGCGGUCAGAGCGAACUCCGCCACGUCUGGAUCAAUCCCCAGAUGGCCUGAACGGGCUCUGCAAUAGAUUGAGUGCCCCAUCAACUGGAGCGGGCUCCACGACGACUGAAUUGAGCCCCCGGUGAUUCACUACAUGAGGCUUUCUUUAGUUCCCGCCACAAAUAAAUAGGUUAGUUUGGAUACAUUUGUACCCAUAAAUCAUCAGUCAUAUAAUUAUUUCAGCAGGCCACUUUUUAAUAAUUAAAUGAAUAGGGAUCAUUGAUGUCUACUACACAACCUUCUUCUUGUAGACGUUGUUGGGCCUCCAAGUGUAGAGGUUUGUAGGACAGUAGCAAAUUUCCCUCAAGUGGAUGACCUAAGGUUUAUCAAUCCGUGGGAGGCGUAGGAUGAAGAUGGUCUCUCUCAAGCAACCCUGCAAGUAAAUAGCAAAGAGUCUUUUGUGUCCCCAACACACCCAAUACAAUGGUAAAUUGUAUAGGUGCACUAGUUCGGCGAAGAGAUGGUGAUACAAGCGCAAUAUGGAUGGUAGAUAAAGGUUUUUGUAAUCUGAAAAUAUAAAAACAGCAAGGUAACAAGUGGUAAAAGUGAGCGUAAACGGUAUUGCAAUGCUAGGAAACAAGGCAUAGUGUUGAGGAUAUAGACCUUAGAGUCACCCGCCAGGAGGGGCCGGGUUACUCGUAGGUCGACGCCAGAAGCCCGGAGCCAAGUUUCAGAUAAUGGGCCAGAGAUGGGCUGAGACCCGGAUAUGGCUUAAAGCCUGUAGUUACAAUCAUUGUUAUAGUAGACUUGUAGUGUAAGGCAAGUAUUGUUUAGAGUCCGAGCCGGACGCUCUUAUGAGCCGGUCGGGACUCUAAGGGCUGCUGGGCGUCAGCCUCCCUAUAUAAAGGGAGGACCCGGCAGCGGUUUAGGGGCGACAACAAUCUCCUCGAGAGCCGGGCAUAGCUGUUUAGCUCCCUGGCGAUCGUAACCCUACUCAAUAAACACCUCAAACUGGACGUAGGCUUUUACCUUCACCGUAAGGGGCCGAACCAGUAUAAACCCUCGUGUUCCUUGCCCCACAUAACCCCUUCAAGCUUCCUAGCUGCGAUGGCUCCACGACUAAGUCCUAGCUCGAGGACAUCUGCCGUGACAAUUCCACGACAGUUGGCGCCCACCGUGGGGCUGCCGCACGGUGUAUUUGAGUUCUUGAAGGGCAGCUUCGAAGGGCUCAAGGGAUACGCUGUGGGCCGAAUGACCAAGAGUCGUCGCGGCAAGCUCUACAUCGACGACGAAGGCUGGGGCCCCGACGCCGGCUCAAUUGAGUACGGGUACCGGGUCCCCUUUGGCGGAAUUCAUGUCUUCAUCGGCAAGAUUGGUGAGCCGGGCCCCGAGCCGGACCUCUGCGCCGAUCUCGUCGAAACGGCUCAGCGCGCACGACCCGCCCGGGCCCGGCCUGCCUUAAGGCGCGCUUUUUUGGGAUGCAUCCAUGGAGGGCCCUCUGAUCUAUCCGGGUCUGGUGAUGAGGCGGCCGCCGGCUCUGACGGCGAGUCGGCCACUGAUGAAUCAAACUCGUUGUACCAACUUCAAGAUGGCAGGUUCAUGGGCUGUUCCGACGGCGACAGUAUUCCGGACCCUUUUGAGCCGCCAAGUCUGGUUGGAGUCUUUAUGGCCGGUGCGCAGCCUGUUCAGAACCCCGCUGCCGGAUCGGGAAACCCGGUGCCUUCCCCGGCUCAGGUACUGAUGGAUCUCAUGGACAAGCUGACGGCCCUGCUAACCGCCGCGGUCGACCCGGCGGACCAAGCCCAGCAUGAUGCAGAGGUGGCGCAGUUAAAGUUAGAUCUGAUAAAGGCUAAAGAGGAUCUUGCAGCGGAAGGGAUCAGGCUGGCUGCGGAGCGGGCGGCUCUCGAUGCCCAGACUCAGCUAAUUCAGGCGCAGUCCUUCCAGCUCACGAUGGAUCAGAACGCGGCCAACGUAGUCAUGAGGAGGAGGCAUCAGAAGGCCCAGUCUCGACUCCCGCCGGUCUACGAUCCACGCAAUCUCUUCAACACGCCGGGUGCAGGGUCUAGCAACCCGCCAGGGGUCAUCACGCCCGGGUCUGUACCCCUUGUUCAGCCACGGUUGAUGGGGCCUCCCCAGGUGCCUCCUGCCCCGCCUCAGUAUGUGCCAGUACCCCUGGGGCAUUAUGAUAACCCGCUGGAGAACAUGGUGGCCGCGGCAGCACGAUUGGCGGCUCUCCCCGUUGACGGCGACUCUCCGGCGGCCAUCGAAACCCGCCGGGUCAGGGAACUCCUGCAGACGGCGCUGACACAGCAAGAAGCGUACUCCUACAGCCGGGAUAGGAUCCACUCGACCCCUCGUCCGGGUCAGAGCCCGAGUUACAGCCGGCACAUGGUCUCAGCAACCGGCUCAAGUAAUGUCCGGCGCCAUGACCCGCCCCCUGGCCAUGGCCCGGCGCAUAACGGAGCCUUCUACGCAGCAGACCAGGACAAGGCACGCCAGGAGGCGGAGCAGGUGCCUCAAUUGACGGCUUACCAGACCCCCCCGGCCUAUCCGACGACUUCUGUUGAUGUGGGUAUCCCUACCAGGACUGGGGGUGUCCCUUGUUUGGUGCCAGCUAUUCGUAAUGAACGUCUACCCAAGGACUUCAAAGGCCCUAGGAAGGUGCCUAACUACACAGCAGACUUACAGCCCGCAGCCUGGGUCGAGAGUUACGAGAUGGCCAUGGAGCUCCUAGAGGUCAGUGAGGCGGCCAUGGCUAAGUACUUCACCAUGAUGCUGGAUGGGACUGCCCGUACUUGGUUGAAAGGGCUACCACCGAAUUCCAUUGGGUCUUGGGCGGAGCUGAAGGCCCGGUUCAUCCAAAACUUCAAAGAUACCUGCAGGCAGUCUAUGUCAAUUGUGGAUUUGACUAACUGUAAGCAGCAGGAGGGUGAGUCCACGACCCAUUGGGUUCGCCGGGUCAAGGAAAUCAUACAUUCAUCAGAUAAAAUGGAUGCCGGCUCUGCAGUCUUAAUGUUGGAACAGAACUGUCGCUUUGUGCCCCUUAAGAUGAAGCUUGGGCGGCUCAAGCGCGACUGCACCGAUAUGGGUACCCUAAUGGCGGCUCUUGUCAAGUACGCCAAUUCCGAUGGUACCAAGGAUCCCCCUUCAGACGAUGAAAGGGCAGGGAAGGGAAAGAAGAACGGCAAUGGCAAGGGUCCCCAGUUUAACCUGGGGAACCAAGGAGGAGGCAAGCGUAAGGCCGAUGGCAGCCUAGAAUUUGUAGCCAACACCAACUCUCAAGGUAAUAACCAGCGACGCAAGGGGAGGCCCCCUCCCCGAGGCGGCGGGUCAGGACCCUCUCUGGAGCAGCUGUUGAAUGAACCUUGUCCGAGGCACGGCUCUAGAGAGAAGCCAGCAACUCAUCUGUGGAAGGAUUGUGCUAUUAUGAAGGCCUUUAAAAACUACAAUGGUCCGGGUGGCGGCUCAGGUGCCGGCGGCUUUCAUGGCCCUGGGGGCGGCUCAAAUAACGGUCCUCAGAACGGUCAAGGGGGCUUUAAUCAGCAGUCUGGCCAGGGUCACCAACAGCAGUAGGGGGGUUACCAGACCAAUCCAAAGCAGCUAAGCGGUGGACAAUAUCAUGUAUUUACCACUAGUCUGUGCAAACGAGAUCAGAAGAUUCACAAGAGGGCUGUGAAUGCUGUUGAGCCGGCAGUCCCACGCUACUUACGAUGGUCUGAGCAGCCUAUAAUAUGGAGUAGGGAGGAUCAUCCUCCUCGGGUGGAUAACCCGGGCCACCUGGCCUUGGUGGUAGCUCCUCAGGUGGGAGGAUAUAAGUUCACAAAAGUACUCAUGGAUGGAGGCAGUAGCAUUAACAUCCUUUAUUAUGAGACUUUUCGCCGUAUGGGGUUAGUUGAUAAGAACCUCAGCCAGUCAAACACUAUCUUCCAUGGGGUAGUGCCUGGUAAGUCGGCUUACCCAGUUGGCAAGAUCGAAUUGGAAGUGGCUUUCGGUGAUGACAGUAAUUACAGAGUGGAGAAGUUGACCUUCGAGGUGGUUAAAAUAAGAAGUCCAUACCAUGCCAUAUUCGGACGGCCGGCUUACGCCAAGUUCAUGGCACGGCCGUGUUAUGUGUACUUACAGCUCAAGAUGCCGGGUCCCAAUGGGACCAUUACGGUUUACGGCAGCCGGAAGGUGGCUCUGGAGUGUGAGGAAGGUGAUGCGGCUUAUGCAGAGUCUGUUUGUGCUACAGAAGAGUUAAAGUUUUAUAAAGACAAUGUCGACCCGACAGACAUGACCUCUCUGAAGAAGCCAACUACGGAGGCUGAGCCGGCGAUGAAAUUCAAAUCGGCUGAUGAAACUAAGCUUGUUGAUUUUGUUCCAGGAAAUUCAUCUCAGCAGUUUAGCAUCAGUGCCAAUCUGGAUCCAAAAUAGGAAGGCGCGCUCAUCGAGUUCAUCCGUGAGAAUAGGGACAUCUUCGCGUGGAAACCUUCCGACAUGCCAGGUGUACCUAGAGAACUCGCUGAGCACACUCUCAAUGUCGAUCCGAAAUUUAAGCCGGUCAGACAGUUCCUUCGGCGGUUUAAUGAAGAGAGGCGAAAGGCUAUUGGUGAAGAAGUGGCCCGGCUCUUGGCGGCCGGGUUCAUUGUUUAGGUCUUUCACCCAGAGUGGUUGGCUAACCCGGUGCUCGUACUCAAGAAGAACGGCACCUGGCGAAUGUGUGUGGACUACACGGACUUGAACAAGGCGUGCCCGACUGAUCCUUUUGCGCUCCCCCGUAUUGAUCAAAUCAUUGAUGCUACGGCAGGUUGUGCACGCUUAAGUUUCUUGGAUGCUUAUUCCGGGUAUCAUCAGAUUAAGAUGGCAGUUAAGGACCAGGAGAAGACGGCGUUCAUCACUCCCUUUGGAGCCUUCUGUUAUGUGUCUAUGCCCUUUGGACUCAAGUGUGCACAGGCGACUUACCAGCGUUGUGUACAGAAUUGUCUUCAUAAGCAGAUCGGGCGCAAUGUUCACGCAUAUGUGGACGACAUUGUGGUUAAAUCCAUCAAAGAGGAAACCCUGAUAGAUGAUUUAAGAGAAACCUUUGAUAAUCUCCGGGUCUAUAAGAUGAUGCUAAACCCGGCCAAGUGUGUCUUUGGUGUUCCUGCAGGCAAGCUCUUGGGUUUCUUAGUUUCUGACAGAGGCAUUGAGGCUAACCCAGAGAAGAUCAAGGCCAUCACCUCCCUGGCUAAGCCGGCGUGUAUAAAUGACGUUCAGCGCUUGGCGGGUCGCAUCGCUGCUUUAAGCCGGUUCAUAAGCCGCUUGGGUGAGAAGGCUAUGCCCUUAUAUCAGUUGAUGAAGAAAACUGAUAACUUUGUCUGGAAUGAUGCAGCUAACACCGCCUUUGAGGAUUUGAAAAAGCAACUGGCAGAGCCCCCCGUCCUUGCUGCUCCGGUUGAUAAGGAGCCCCUGCUACUGUAUGUGGCGGCAAACACACGAGCCGUCAGUGUGGCUAUUGUGGUGGAGCGUAAGGAGACGGGUAAGGAGCAUCCGGUUCAGCGGCCGGUUUAUUAUGUCAGUGAGGUGCUUAUUGAGUCCAAGCAGCGGUACCCGCAUUGGCAGAAGCUCGUAUAUGGUGUGUUCAUGGCAAGCCGGAAACUCAAACAUUAUUUUCAGGGUCAUCCCAUCACUGUGGUCAGUUCUGCCCCUCUUGGGGAUAUUAUCCAGAACAGAGAGGCUACAGUGAGAAUUGCUAAGUGGGCUAUAGAGCUUGGACCGCAUGGCCUCAAAUAUGUGCCACGCACUGCUGUUAAAUCUCAGGCUUUGGUGGACUUCAUCAACGAUUGGACAGAGUCACAAGUGCCCGAGCAGAAGCCGGAUAAUACGUACUGGACUAUUCACUUUGACGGGUCUAGGCAGUUGGAGGGCUCAGGGGCUGGCGUUGUGUUGGCUUCCCCUAGGGGUGACAAGUUCCAGUAUGUGCUACAAUUGAUGUUUCCUUGCACUAACAAUGCGGCUGAAUACGAGGCUUUACUCCACGGUCUUCGAGUGGCCAAGGAGAUGAGCUUAAGCCGGGUAAGGUGCUUUGGGGACUCAGAUUUGGUGGCUCAACAAGUAUCAGGCACCUGGGAUUCUAAGGAUCCUCUCAUGGCGGCUUAUCGCCGCGAGGUUGAUGCCAUUGCUGGGCACUUUCAGGGAUAUCAAGUGGAGCACAUUGAUCGCAGGAAGAACGAGGCGGCUGAUGCUUUAAGCCGGCUAGGCUCUCAGCGCAAGCCGGUGCCGCCGAACACUUUCCUGGAUGUCCUGUAUAACCCUUCGGUUAAGUUGCCUAUAGAGGAGGACUUGGCUAUCCCUGACCCGGAGGCACGGCUAGUGGCGGCUCUUCACGUCAUACUAGACUGGACAAUGCCAUAUCUGGCUUAUAUAACCCGGGGGGAGUUGCCUGAAGAUGAAACUUUGGCCAGGCAGAUAACCCGGCGGGCCAAGUCAAUGAUUGUUAUCAACGGCGAAUUGCAUCAUCGCAGUGUUUCAGGGGCAUUUCAGCGUUGUAUCUCCCCUGAGGAAGGUCAAGAGAUCUUGCGCGAGAUCCAUGAAGGGGAUUGUGGCCAUCAUGCCGGUUCAAAAUCUCUUGUGGCCAAGGCUUUCCGUCAUGGUUUUUAUUGGCUGACGGCUCACGCUGAUGCAGAGGACUUGGUCAGUAAAUGUGAUGGCUGCCAAAGGUUCUCACGACGGGCUCAUGUGCCGGCUCAGGAGUUGAGGAUGAUCCCAAUCACUUGGCCCUUUGCGGUCUGGGGGCUUGAUAUGGUUGGGCCCUUUAAACGGUCCAAGGAUAAGAAGAUCCACCUCUUGGUGGCGGUUGACAAAUUCACAAAGUGGGUGGAGGCCGAGCCAGUUAGCAAGUGCGAUGCAGCCACGUCGGUUCAAUUUAUGAAAAAGGUGAUUUUCCGCUUCGGCUUUCCACACAGCAUCAUAACUGACAAUGGCACCAAUCUAUCCAAGGGCGCUAUGGAAGAGUUUUGUCAACGAGAGCAUAUCCGACUUGAUGUUUCCUCAGUGGCUCAUCCCCAAUCCAAUGGUCAAGCUGAGAGAGCUAACCAUGAGAUUCUGAAGGGCAUUAAACCCCGGCUUUUGGUCCCUUUGCAACGGACGCCGGGUUGUUGGGUGGAGGAGUUGCCCUCCAUCUUAUGGAGCAUCAACACUACUCCUAACAGGUCUACAGGCUUCACACCUUUCUUCAUGGUUUAUGGAGCAGAAGCAGUUCUCCCCAGCGACAUCCGUCACGAUUCACCUCGUGUGGCGGCUUAUGUUGAGACGGAUAAUGAACAGGCGCGCCAAGAUGCUCUGGACUUGUUGGACGAACAGCGUGAUGUGGCAGCAGCCCGUUCAGCGAUUUACCAACAGGACCUGCGCCGUUAUCAUAGCCGCCGGGUCAAGUCCCGGGUCUUCCAGGAAGGCGGCCUUGUGCUCCGGCUCAUCCAGGAUCAAACAGAUGCACACAAGUUAUCCCCACCUUGGGAAGGGCCCUUUGUGGUCAGUAAGAACUUGCACAACGGGUCGUAUUACCUCAUUGACAUUCGGGAGCAUAAAGAUUCACGUAAGUCUGAGGAAGAGACCCGUCGGCCGUGGAACAUAGCUCAGCUUCGGCCUUACUACACUUGAGCUACCGGCUCUUGUGGUGUACAUACUUAUCUCAGCCAUGUAUAUAUUAUGAUAAGCAAUAAAGCAGGACCUCUGUCCUUUUUUCUCCUCCAAUUAUGUGUGUUAUAUUUUACAUGCUAAUUUGAAAGGAGGAUCCGGCUUAUGAUCGUAUUCGAAUCUAGCCGUAAGCAGUAAGGUCACUUGGGGGCUUCCUGUUCAAACAUGGGUCGUAUUCGAACCAAAGAGAACAUAGCUGUCGAUACCCAUUUGGUUGGCAAAGUGCCGAGCUCAUUGGGAGGUGGCCUUUGGUCAUAUUUGAAUCACAGUGCAACCCCUCUGAGAACCGACGUGGAUCGUAUUCGAAUCAGCGUCGUUAAACAAUUUUCAGAAUCACUUGGGGGCUUCCUAUUCAAACAUGGGUCGUAUUCGAACCAAAGAGAACACAGCUGUCGAUACCCUCUUGAUUGGCAUCGCCACACCCACUGGGGGCUAUAUGAUCGCAUCCGAAUCUUAGCUUAACCCCUUUGGACUGGGUUUCUGGUCGUAUUCGAACCGGAAGCCCCUAAGUUUUUAUAUUUUAUCAUAAGUCUACUCUGAUCAUGUCAAAGUAUGUGCUGCCGGCUCUCACUUGCCGGCUUAAUUUUGGUUUAUCUUGUUAGUUGAACAUCAGGGAGGUUAUCAAGACAGGUACAUUCGAGUUAAGGUACCAACCAAGCUAUCCGGGUUAUUUAACCCGGAAAUAUGUUACAGGCCGUUAAGUGUGUUAUCACGGCUAUGUUCAGAGUAUAACGACCAGUCUUUUUUGGGUUCGUUUGCCGGAUUAUAUAUUUUAAACACCUGAUUCUCAGGACGGUAAGCCGCCUCGAGACUUGUGAUUUACCUUUCUAUGUAGAUAUUGGAAGGUACUUUUUACAGUGGAGAAGGACAAAGGGAUAAUUAUAACCCGGAAGAACACCAAAAGAAUAACUUCAAGAGGUUUCAGCAUUCAUUACGUGCACGAUGGCACGGCAGAGAUAAAUUGUUGCACCUAUUCUAUUACAAAAAUCUUUAUGAAGUUUCAAGGGUGGAGCAUUGCUCGGUGAACCGCCAGCCACUUUAUGAUGCCUGCUGAGUUGAAGUCCCCGGCUCGUCUUCUGCUCCGGCUGAUCCCAAGACCUCGAAGGUUGACGACUUCCAGUCGAUGCCGCUGAGAGCUUCGAACUGGGCUCCUUCGUCGAUUAACCCGGCCGGGUCAAUCUCCGGGGCGAAGGUGUGCUGACGAGCCGGAGGGAUCAGGUUGAGGGCUUCAUAGCGUGGGGUUGGAAUCCUUCGAUUCUCCGCGUCAAAACCCGGCUGGUACUUGGUCAAGUCGGUGUCGUUCCCGAUGAGGGUAGCCACCGGGCGUACAGCCUUCACACAUGCCGCGAAGUCCUUUUGGUCGAAGGCUGAGCCGUCUUCCUUCAGGCUGGGGUAACCCAGGGCGAUAUCUGCCGGGUCUAGCUCUGGCAAGAAUGCCUUAGCCCGGCUCAGCGCAGCGAUUGCUCCGGCUCUCGCGGAUGCCCGUCGUAGCUCCUGGAUCCGCUGUGGCAGAACUGCGAGCCGGCGCAGGACUUCGGCCAGGUGUGUUGGCACCUCAUUCGACAAGGCCACCACCGCUAGGGCCCGCUGUGACCCGGUGUAGAGCUGCUCCACCAGGGUGUACACAGUCUUUAGUUUGGUGACCACGCUCUGGUUCAGGUUGGCGCUUCUGGAGCCUGUUUAAUAAAGAUUAGGUAAGUCGGCGACAAGGAUGAGUCAUAACAUAUACAGACUUGAUGAAAGCCGGCGAGGCGACUUACCGAAGAUGGCAGCCACCAUUUGGGAAACCUGGCGCUUUAGGCCGGAGAGCUCAGCGGUCUUCUCGGUGAGGGCUUUCUCCGCCUGUUCGGCCCGGGUCACCAGUGCGUUUUUUUCCUCCGCCCAGGACUUCCGCUCAGCAUCGAAUUCAGUCUUCAGCUUCUCUUGAGCGGCGAUGCUGGAGACAAACUUGGCGUUUGCCUUCCGGGUCUCCAUCUCUUGUGUCUUCAGCCGGCUCUUAAGAUCCGCCAGGUCCGACUCUAAUUUUUUGCCAACAGCCUGCAUAUAUUUCCGGGUUGUUAACAGGCAUUCUAUAAGUCCCAAGCGCUUUCCAAGCAAAGACACUUGGCACUUGGGGGCUAAUGCAUAUUGAACGUAUCUAUCUACGUACUGCCGGUUCAGUUAAGUAAGCCGGAAUCUAAGUCUACAGCAUAUUCAAGUAUAAGUUGCAGACUUGGGGGCUGGCAUGACAAGGAUCACUAUGCAGAAAAUAAGAGGACAGCAGAAGGUUACCUCAGAUUUUUGUUGGAUCUGGUUGACCAUGGCGAUUUCGGCGUCCCGGCUCUUGUGAACUUGGCUGAUGUAGCCAGAGACGAGCUCUCCAAUGCUCAAAUCGGUGUAGUUGGAGAGAUCCAGAUUCACCCGGUGGGGCUGCAGCAGCUCCCCCUUCGCAGAGCAUUUGGCCAGCACGGUCGGUCUCCCCGGCUCAACAUACUCCGUCCGGGUCAUCAGUUGAAGGGGCAGAGCCGGAGGCCUCCGGGUUAACCGACGCUUCGGUUGUGGUCUUGGCAGUUGGGGCAGGCGCUUCAGGUGCCGUGUCCAUAGGACUGGUGGCUUCGGGGGCGGCGGCAGCUGGCGGCUCUUGAGCCGUCGUCUCCGGCUCAGGCAAGUCGGGCACUCCGGCUGACCUGGUCUUCUUUGCUCUUUUGGUGAGCUUUGCCUGGGCACUGAAAAGACAGAAGUGUUAGGCAUACAAAGAGUAAAGUACAGCCGGAUAAUGUAAGGAGAUUAUUAUUACCCGGGUGCAGUUUUGAAGGCCGGCAGACUUGACUGCAUGGAGUCACCCGAAGAGGGGGAGGUCUCCUGAUAAUUAGAGUCAGAAGAGUUGAGUGGCUGACGGAUGACACCCGCCAACGGAUGAAAAGGGUACAGGUGAGAAAAAACCUCCGUACGACGCUUCCUUGUUGCGUCGGGUAACCCGGCGGAGAGAUCGGUGUCCUUGCGGGCCCGGGUGUGACGCCGGCUUUCGUGAACCUGCUGCUUCAAAAGAAAUUGAGGGUCUUGAUGAGCUAACGGGUGAGAAAAGCUUACUUUCCGGGUUACUCUUCGGACUUUCAGCUGUGGCAAAGGCUCCGAGUCGGAGGAAAGUGAUGUUACCUCUUCAAUCACCGGGUUACUGGCGCCGGUGUCGUCCUGUCAAUAAGCAAAAUGUGGAUAAGGUGGACAGCAGCAAACAAAAAAUAUGGCAAGAAUUUAAAGGUUUACGGGUUACCUCUGACUCGGAGCUGUCGCUUAAUUGCAGCAGCUCCGAAGCGGUGGGUCUGCUUCCCUUUCUGCGAGGGGCGGCUUUCUUCGCCUUCCUGGCCUUCUUGGCCGCCUCAUGGUCGUAUUUGACCCGCCAGAAUUUGUCAUCAGUCUGAGAGGUACAGUAAUGAAUUCUUAAAGCGGUCCAGAUCAAGGUGACAUGCAAAAGAAGUUGAAAGAUUAAGGUCAGCGGCUUACCGCUGGGGCUGGAUUGGUCUUGCAGAACGGGGCCAGCCCGGUUCUUCCACAGUCUGCCAGGCUCUCGUUUAACAGAGCCUUGGUCUCUUCUUCAGCAACGUCUUCCGGAAGAUCGUUGCGACUGUGCCUCUGCGGGUCAUCCUUUCGCCCGGUGUACUCACACAUUAAGCCGGGGCGGCGGCUCAAUGGGAUCACCCGCCAUGAGAUCCAGACCCGGACUAGAUCAAUUCCGUUCAGACCGUUGCCUAGCAGAGCCUUGAUCUUGUUGAUCGUUGGAAGCAGAGGUUGGCGUUCCGCGGCAGUAAGUUUGUCGGAUAACGGGUGCGUGGAUUCCAGGCGUGUUGGGCGAAAGCCGGGCAGUGGAUUCUCGUCAGCCGGGGACGUGUCUUGGCAGUAGAACCAAGUCAUAUUCCAGUCUUUAGGGUGGCUCGGCGGCUCUGCAUAAGGGAACAGGCAGUCCCUACGUCGUUGGAUGGAUAUGCCGCCUAAUUCUAGACUUGGCCCGUUGGCACACUCAUUUUGGCGGUUCAAAUAGAACAGCUCUCUGAAGAGUAGCAGGCUCGGCUCUUCUCCAAGAUACACUUCACAGAAGACUUGGAAGUUGCAGAUGUUGGAUAUGGAAUUGGGUCCUAUAUCCUGAGGCCGAAGGUCAAAGAAGUUGAGCACGUCCCGGAAGAAUUUUGAGUCGGGCGGUGCGAAGCCCCGGCUCAUGUGGUCUGCAAAGAUCACUACCUCCCCGUCCCUCGGCUGUGGUCUUUCUUCUGACGGAUCAGGGGCACGGUAGGACAUCACUUCUUUCUUGGGCAGAUACCCGGACUUAACAAAGUUGGCUAGGGUCUCUUCAGUGACAUUGGAUCUCGUCCAGUUGCAAGUGAUGGGGGCCUUGGGAGGCAUGGUGAAGGUUGGUGGUCUAUAAUAAAGAGAAAAGUAUCCGGGUCAAUUAUAAGCCGGAGAUCUAUUGUUCAAAUUAAAGUGGCGGCUUAUGAAGGGGACUAAUGAUAUAUACUCAUGUACGGUGAGUUGUCAGAGCCGUAGGAACAUUCAGAAUAAAUUGGUCAUCUACGGCUUACUACAGUUAAGCCGGAGGAGUCUGCAGAGCAUGGUUCUCUUUAAACCGGAAAGUUCUACGGCGCGUGUUUCUUUAAGUCGGAAAUAUAAGUCGCCAAGAUUCGAGGGCUGCAGUUUUUACUAAGUGUGGUAAACAGAUUUCACAUAUUGCAGUAACUUUUUCGGAUCAAAAUGGUCGGGCGAGAUGAAAUUUUUCUAGACCUAAAAACAGAAGCAGGGGAAGUUCUUGAGGUGGAACACAGUCCUUAUGCAGUGAAAAGAGGUGUUCUUGCAGAUGAAAUGAGUUUCAAACAUCUACCGCGGUGGUUCUACGCAAGGCUAAAGAUCAACUAACUACGGUGACUACAGGAGCUACUGAGACUUGUGGCUAUGGUGACGAACACGAAGAACACAGACAAACUCUAUCACAGAUCUAUGCUAGUAAGGCAGAGGGGACUCACCGGAGCUGGAGAAGAGCGGAGGUCGCCGACGUUAUCUGGUCCGAGUCAGGUUGAUGCAGCGGCCGGGUUGAUGAAGGACGAGGGAGCGACGGCGGCGGCAGUGACAGAGCUCGGGCAGAAGAGCGACGGCGCGAGGAGGAAGAAAGAGAGCGUGAGAAGAGAAGUGUUGGGCCGGCCUAUUUAUAAGGCAGGGUCAUAAGUGGGCGCGAGAUUCAAGGAGACCACGGCAUGGUUAUCUCCCCCUCACGGCGCCUCGAUUUUCGGAAAGACAGUAAAAGCAAAGAUCCGUUGCGGAUCUGGCGGAGUAAAAAACAGACUUAAUGGAGGAUGACGUCACGGCGGAUUAUCCGGAGUCCAGAGGAUGACGUCACUCCGGGUUAUGGCCUCCACAUGAAUGGUGAGCCGGAGAUUUUCUUGGUCGGCAGAGUUGAAGAUUGACAUGAGCCGGCUCAAGUCAAUCUGGGGCCUAAUGUUGAGGAUAUAGACCUUAGAGUCACCCGCCAGGAGGGGCCGGGUUACUCGUAGGGUCGACGCCAGAAGCCCGGAGCCAAGUUUCAGAUAAUGGGCCAGAGAUGGGCUGAGACCCGGAUAUGGCUUAAAGCCUGUAGUUACAAUCAUUGUUAUAGUAGACUUGUAGUGUAAGGCAAGUAUUGUUUAGAGUCCGAGCCGGACGCUCUUAUGAGCCGGCCGGGACUCUAAGGGCUGCUGGGCGUCAGCCUCCCUAUAUAAAGGGAGGACCCGGCAGCGGUUUAGGGGCGACAACAAUCUCCUCGAGAGCCGGGCAUAGCUGUUUAGCUCCCUGGCGAUCGUAACCCUACUCAAUAAACACCUCAAACUGGAUGUAGGCUUUUACCUUCACCGUAAGGGGCCAAACCAGUAUAAACCCUCGUGUUCCUUGCCCCACAUAACCCCUUCAAGCUUCCUAGUUGCGAUGGCUCCACGACUAAGUCCUAGCUCGAGGACAUCUGCCGUGACAAUUCCACGACACAUAGGGUUCAUACUUUCACUAGUGCAAGUUCUCUCAACAAUAAUAACAUAAUUGGAUUAUAUAACUAUCCCUCAACAUGCAACAAAGAGUCACUCCAAAGUUACUAAUAGUGGAGAACAAACGAAGAGAUUAUGGUAGGAUACGAAACCACCUCAAAGUUAUUCUUUCCAAUCAAUCCAUUGGACUAUUCCUAUAAGUGUCACAAACAGCCCUAGAGUUCAUACUAGAAUAACACCUUAAGACACAAAUCAACCAAAACCCUAAUGUCACCUAGAUACUCCAAUGUCACCUCAAGUAUCCAUGGGUAUGAUUAUACACUAUGCAUCACACAAUCUCAGAUUCAUCUAUUCAACCAACACAUAGAACCUCAAAGAGUGCCCCAAAGUUUCUACCGGAGAAUCAAGACGAAAACGUGUGCCAACCCCUAUGCAUAGGUUCAUGGGCGGAACCCGCAAGUUGAUCACCAAAACAUACAUCAAGUGAAUCACGUGAUAUCCCAUUGUCACCACAGGUACGCACGGCAAGACAUACAUCAAGUGUUCUCAAAUCAUUAAAGACUCAAUCCGAUAAGAUUACUUCAAAGGGAAAACUCAAUCCAUUACAAGAGAGUAGAGGGGGAGAAGCAACAUAAGAUCCAACUAUAAUAGCAAAGCUCGCGAUACAUCAAGAUCUUGCCAAAUCAAGAACACGAGAGAGAGAGAGAGAUCAAACACAUAGCUACUGGUACAUACCCUCAGCCCCGAGGGUGAACUACUCCCUCCUCGUCAUGGAGAGCGCCGGGAUGAUGAAGAUGGACACCGGUGAGGGUUCCCCCCUCCGGCAGGGUGUCGAAACAGGGUCCCGAUUGGGUUUUGGUGGCUACAAAAGCUUGUGGCAGCGGAACUCCCGAUCUAUUCUGUUCCCCGAUAGUUUUAGGGUAUAUUGGUAUAUAUAGGAGGAAGAAAUACGUCAGGGGAGCCACGAGGGUGGAGGGCGCGCCCCCUGCCUCGUGCCUCCCUCGUUGCUUUCCUGACGUGCACUCCAAGUCCCCCGGAUUGCUUUCUUUCCAAAAAUAACUCUCUACAAGGUUUCAUUCCGUUUCGACUCCGUUUGAUAUUCCUUUUCUUCGAAACACUGAAACAAGGGGAAAAAACAGGAACUGGCACUGGGCUCUGGGUUAAUAGGUUAGUCCCAAAAAUAAUAUAAAAGUGCUUAGUAAAGCCCAUUAAACAUCCAAAAGAGAUAAUAUAAUAGCAUGGAACAAUCAAAAAUUAUAGAUACGUUGGAGACGUAUCAAUCAUCUAAAGCGGACACCAAUAGAAUUGAGUAUGAGCAUGAGCAUGAUAGAGGCAUCACUACUUCUACACCCCCGUCACCAACAAUGCCAUCGCCACCACUUCAUCUUCAUUAGUUUUGGCUUAUUACCCUUGUAGUUUAAUCGGCAACAAAAUAUUGUAAGACACUUAAAGUACUUUCUUUUCAACUACCUAUAUCUUGUUUCUGUUUUUUACUUCGUUGCCCGUAGAAGCACACAAUAUUUUAUAGGUGGACAGUCUCGUGAUCCUUCCCCUAUUUCCAACCUAUCGAGCAUCCGAGUUAUGUUCCCUCGAGGUUACCAAGAACCUUAGUUUUAUUUUCAAUAACACACAAGUUGUGUGUAUUUUGUAUUAAGAUAGGGGAGAAAAAACAAGUACAAAACAUGUACACGCUAUGUACAAGGGAUGCAUGGCACUUUAGCCAGCACCCAAACCUAGAAACACCUAAGCAUCAGUUCUCAUAUUAUCAUCCACGGAUCCACUCACCCUAGCCAACAUCCACAAAGUAAACUCAUUUCAAACUCUCACGGUAACAAUGGAGGGCAUUGAUGCUACUUUGUCGAAAAUGCGACUAUUCCUCUCCAGCCAAAUCAUCCUUAAUAUGCAACAAGCCAGAGUGUUCAAUUCCUUCCUCCGAGUCCUGGUUGCAGCUGAAUGCAACCUAGACCACCAAUCUUUGAGCUCGUCGGUAGGUUGCGGAGUGAAUCUAUGUAGCCUCCAUGGUAACAACAAAGAGUACCAAAUUUGUCAAGAGAAUGAACAACCCAACAGAAGAUGGUUGAUACGUCUCCAACGUAUCUAUAAUUUUUUAUUGUUCCAUGCUAUAUUAUAUUCUGUUUUGGACAUUAUUGGGCUUUAUUAUACACUUUUAUAUUAUUUUUGGGACUAACCUAUUAACAGGAGGCCCAGCCUAGAAUUGUUAUUUUUUUGCUUAUUUCAGAGUUUCGCAGAAAAAGAAUAUCAAACGGAGUCCAAACGGAAUGAAACCUUCGGGAACGUGAUUUUUGGAACGAACGUGAUCCAGGGGACUUGGACCCUACGUCAAGACAUCAACCAGGAGGGCACGAGGUAGGGGGGUGCGCCUACCCCCCUAGGCGCGCCCUCCACCCUCGUGGGCCCCCUGUUGCUCCACCGACAUACUCCUUCCUCCUAUAUAUACCUACGUACCCCCAAACUACCAGAUACGGAGCCAAAAACCUAAUUCCACCGCCGCAACCUUCUGUACAUGUGAGAUCACAUCUUGGGGCCUGUUCCGGAGCUCCGCCGGAGGGGGCAUCGAUCACAGAGGGCUUCUACAUCAACACCAUAGCCUCUCCGAUGAUGUGUGAGUAGUUUACUUCAGACCUUCGGGUCCAUAGUUAUUAGCUAGAUGGCUUCUUCUCUCUUUUUGGAUCUCAAUACAAUGUUCUCCCCCUCUCUCGUGGAGAUCUAUUCGAUGUAAUCUUCUUUUGCGGUGUGUUUGUUGAGACCGAUGAAUUGUGGGUUUAUGAUCAAGUUUAUCUAUGAACAAUAUUUGAAUCUUCUCUGAAUUCUUUUAUGUAUGAUUGGUUAUCUUUGCAAGUCUCUUCGAAUUAUCAUUUUGGUUUGGCCUACUAGAUUGAUCUUUCUUGCAAUGGGAGAAGUGCUUAGCUUUGGGUUCAAUCUUGCGGUGUCCUUUUCCAGUGACAGUAGGGGCAGCAAGGCACGUAUUGUAUUGUUGCCAUCGAGGAUAACAAGAUGGGGUUUAUAUCAUAUUGCAUGAGUUUAUCCCUCUAUAUCAUGUCAUCUUGCUUAAAGCGUUACUCUGUUCUUAUGAACUUAAUACUCUAGAUGCAUGCUGGAUAGCGGUCGAUGUGUGGAGUAAUAGUAGUAGAUGCAGGCAGGAGUCGGUCUACUUGUCUCGGACGUGAUGCCUAUAUACAUGAUCAUACCUAGAUAUUCUCAUAACUAUGCUCAAUUAUGUCAAUUGCUCAACAGUAAUUUGUUCACCCACCGUAAAUACUUAUGCUCUUGAGAGAAGCCACUAGUGAAACCUAUGGCCCUCGGGUCUUUUCCAUCGUAUUAAUCUUCCAACACUUAGUUAUUUUUAUUGCCUUUUAUUUUACUUUGCAUCUUUAUCAUAAAAAAUACCAAAAAUAUUAUCUUAUCAUAUCUAUCAGAUCUCACUCUCGUAAGUGACCGUGUAGGGAUUGACAACCCCUUAUCGCGUUGGUUGCGAGGAUUUAUUUGUUUGUGUAGGUGCGAGGGACUUGUGCGUGGCCUCCUACUGGAUUGAUACCUUGGUUCUCAAAAACUGAGGGAAAUACUUACGCUACUUUGCUGUAUCACCCUUUCCUCUUCAAGGGAAAACCAACGCAGUGCUCAAGAGGUAGCAAUGGUUCGCUUAUUCCUCAUUCUGGCAGCAUAAACACACUGCACAGGGUGCUGCAGGUUUCGUUUCACCAAUUUGCCAGACAUCCGCAAGCGAUCGUGCAGCGCAAGCGAGAUAAAAAUUUAUAUUUCCAACGGUGCCCAAGAUGAUCAAAACUCUACCAUGCCCAACACAUACUCACGGCCAAGGAAGAACGACGCGUGUGCCGAACGCACAGAGAACGAAGUUACCGUCCGUAGUCAGGUGCCAACUGAAGGUGUGCUCGACAUUCUGUAUCACGGUCCACUGGUUUAAUAGUUCAACAAUCGCCGAGAUAAAUGGAGCUCCCCUGAUAGCUUGCAACCACUUGGCCUCUGGCAGAACCUCAACAACCAGCUGACAUCGCACCGCCAGCCUCACAUGUGCGUCGUCCCACACUCCUGCCAUCGAACCACCGGUCCGACCAAUACUCGAUAUUAGAUCUGUGCCCUAGCGAACACUCCACCGCGGCAUCGAACAAAGCACACGCCUCAUGAGGAACAUCAAUCUGCAGGCCUCCCUGAGGCUUGCACACUCAUGCCUUUUCAUACGAUGCAGGUUCUUGACCCCCAGCCCACUGAACUCCAUCGGCGUGCAAACCAGCUUCCAAUUGACCAGACAUCCUCCCCCUUUGCUUCAGCAUGCCCACAUUAGAAAAAAUCCCGACAGACCUUGUUGAUGCAAGAGAGAAACCACAACGGAAGAUCGAGAACGAGCACAGGGAAGAUCGCCGUAGCGAUGAGAGUCAAGUUAAUCAGAACCAACCUCCCAGUACGUCAGAGCAUUGAGGCUUUCCACAUCGGCAGAUGGCUGGCACCACGAUCCACAUACGGCUGCAGGUGAAUCUUGGACAGACGUGUCACAGAGAGAAGCAACCCCAAGUACGUGGCAAGAAAGUUGAGCACAUGGCAUCGAAGUGAUUGCAACACGCACGCAGCGGUGACCUCAUCACAUCUGAUGAGGGAGGCAGAACCCGCAGCGGUGACUCAAAGCGGUGUAAUGAACCUUUGCCGCGCCAUCACCGCUGCUCCGACGCACGGCAGCCAUGCCACGUGGCACCCGUGGAGGAAGAAGGAUCCCAGCCGUCGGAUGAGGCAUGAACGCUGGAUCCACCAGACAGCUGGGGAAAACCAUUACUCGCGUGACGUGUACCACGCGGCCACUCUCUCAACCCCUCCCCCGACCGCCGCCGCCACCGCCUCGUGACUUCCCGAACCGUCUCGCCGCCUACCCCCGCCGGCCACCGGUGGCCGAAGCAGGCGCUGGCCGGUAGGCCGGACCGCCUCCAACCCUAAGCGCGCACCAGCGGAAUCGCCGCGACUCCGAGUCCCUCGAAGCGGGAGGGAGGGGGACCAUGGAGUCGGAGGUAGUGAGGGCGGAGAUGCUGCUGGCGCCGACGAUGGCGUUCAAGAAGGUGCAGACGGCCGACAAGUACCCCAAGGGCCAGUCCCGCGGCCGCCAGUGGAAGCACCUCCGCCACCUCCUCCAGGCCGCCGACGCCACCUCGCUGCCCCCGGACCGCCCCAACUGUGAGCGCCUCUCGAUCCCCUUCCUGCUGCUAGUUGCCCAAUUAUUGGAGAUUUCGUCUGCAAAUCAAGUGCUUUGUACUAGAUUUUAGGCCUUCCUGUGCUUGUUGAGGUGUUUUAAGACUGUUUGAUGAUCCAGUUUAGGACUAGAAACUUGUGGUGACUAGAGAUUGAAAAUUGGAACUGCAUGAUGGAUUUUUUUUAAGUGCCCACCGAUGCUGGGAGCUUGCACAUUGUGCUGUAUUUUGGUGCUAACAAAUAGCAGCAAUUGAAUUGGUUCUUCUUAUGUUACAGAAUACAAACUCACAAUUCACUUUAGAGCCUUAUAGAUGCAGAUACUUCCUCCUGAAACAUCAUUGUUUUCUCAAUUUAUAGGGAGUGUUUUUUGUAGAAUAAAAUUUGGUUCUGCACUCGUGCUUGAUAGAAUAGGUCAAUAGAUUGUUGGCUUUGUGUCUCAUAUUCAUAACUUCUGAAGUGUUAGCUUCCACUGCUAAGGCGAUUAGACAGCUCUUACAUGAACUUGUGUCUCUCAGUUACGAGUAUAAAGCUGGAUAACACUCUAGAUUUUCGUUUUUGACAUUAGCGAAACAAGUUAUUUGUGUGUUCAGGUAGUCUACACCUGUAGUAUUUAGAGCAAAUUGUUGUGGCGAAUAUAAUGUUCACAGUAUGUUCUUUAUGCAGAUUUAAAUAUUCAGUCACCCCCAUCCGUUUAUCCACCAAAGAGAUAUUGUGACGUUACAGGUUUUGAGGUAAGUCACCCCUAUAGACUCCCAACUGUUGAUUUACAUAUCCUGAAAUGCUUCUAAAUGAUAAGGUUUGGAAUUUGAAUAUAUUUAGGUCUGAAGUAGAUCAUAAUGCUGUGUCCUGUGUUUACCACAAUUUUGUUUAUCAUGCUAAGCUGCAUGUUUAUAUGCAGUGUUAAUUGGUUGCAAACUCUCCCGGUGAGAUGAAAUUUUGCGCUGUGCUUAACAAGGCCUAUAAAUUUGAAGGAAUAAGUUGAUACUUUGAGUUUAGUUAUUCUCCCAGUAGCUGGCUCAUAGGAAAACUCAGUAAGUAGCUUAUGAGCAGCUAGAUCUAAGACAUAGCAGUACCGGUAGAGAUCAACAAAAAAUAGUUCCAUGUUAGAGAUCGUGGCCAUAAUGUUAUCUUUUAUGUCUUAUAAUUACUCUCCAACAUUUUGUUUGGAGUUCUUCACUGUCCUCACUUAUCUGCUUUGUAUGAACCAACACAAGCCUUUUUUAAAAGCAACUCGGAUGUAUUAUUGACAAGAUAGGUUUGUGUGUGCAACCUAUUAUUUGACGCUGUAUGAUCAGGUUUUGUGUAGGUUGAAAUCAAAUAAACUCUGGCCAGUUAAAUUUGUGAUUAUCUGAAAGUUGAUUGUGUUUGGUAACUUCUAACUAGUAACUACUACAAAAAAGUACCGCUAAAUAAUGUGAGAAUUGUAUGGAUGACCCACUGAAAGCUCUAAUUCAGCAUUGUUCUAAUUGCUUUACUCCAUUUCCCCCCUUUUUUUUGCAAGAGUUCACUCCAUUUUUCAGAAUUAUUGACUGUAUACUUUUUGCAAUGUUCCUCAGAUUUGGUUUUAUGCUGUCUAAUUAAAUUUUGCAUAUGGAUAUUCAUCUGUGUGGAUGUUAAUGUAAUUCGAGGCUAAUACAAUAUUGUUGCAAUCUUUUAAGGAGACAAAAAAACAGGGUCGUAGUUAUUUUGAUCUUUGAAUUGUACUGUUAAUAUGAGUGCUUUUUGAUUCAACUUGUUGGCAUAGCAGAAACCCAGCAGGACUGUGUUGGAACAGAAUCCAGAUUGAGCUGCUAAAAUUGUGACUUAUUUUGGAAAAAAUGUUGUGAACAGAUUUCACUAUCAACCUAAAUUUAGAUGUUUUUGGUAGCUUUCAUACUGCCACUUAUGUAGGGGUGUUCAAUUGCUGUUUACACAGGUUGACCAACCUGUGGACCAACAAACUUACUAGCACUCAUGUAUCACAGUUUUGGAAAAUUACAAAAUUAGCAAUGUGUUGAUGAUUUAGCACAGUUUGUAAAAGUCCGGUGUGGACACCCCUAAACAUAUGUAAUUAAAGUCUGCUGUUCUAACAGAUCCCUAUAUGAAUGAAGUAGGAGUCUUCAUGAAUGAAAUACACUAGUAUAGUUGGUAAAUAUUUUUAUAAUACAGUAUUAAUAACAUAGUCCCCAUAAAACAUGAACUUAAGUGUAUACGCAUAUUAUAGAACUUAAGAGUUGAAAACUUGAUUAGUGUUUUGGGUUAGUUUACUAAUGUUUUAGAACAGGCAGGUGAACUAAAAUCAAUACUUCUCAGUUGUAAUGUUCUUUUCACAGUUCGUAUCUCUCUCGCGGCCUCUGCGAACAACAUGUUUAGUUAAUUUCAACUUGGUACUGCCAUGUAUAGUAUUACCAAGGGUCAUAAACUUCACUGCACGUCUGCAGCUGUUAGUAAUGCAUGAACAAUUUGAACAUCACCCUACUGACAUCUGUACUAAUAGUUCACAUUUUCACCCACAUACGCAUCGCCGUAAUAAAUGAAUCAACCCUAAUGAUAUGACAAUCGUAUUGGUCGAACUCAAGGCUUGGAGGCAGGGCAACUGACCCAAAUGAAGCAGCACCCAACACUGGCCAUCUGUCCUAAGCCUGGAUUUUGCUGACUGCUGAGGACUGUAGUCCAGAUGAUGCAGUGUGUUGGCGAGAGAUAGAAGAAAAUUACAUAGAACACCAAAGAAGAAACUAAUAACACAAACAUCUGUGUUGCCGCCAAGAACCUACUUGUAUCUCAUCAACCAGUCCAAGUAUGUUCCAUGUUGUGCUGUAUCGUGCAUGACCUGUUUGUUGCUGCAUACAUGCCGUCAUUGGUUACAUAGUUUCAGUAGCACUAGCUGAUGCAUAUAUAUCUGAUACAGAGCAUUUUUGGUUGCCCAUUAGGUGCCGUCCCUUGUUACAGCUGUUAGGGAGUACUUUUUACAAGUCUGACCCUUUUACCUUCAUGCAGGCACCAUACGUGGAUCCGAGGACGAAGCUGCGCUACGCUGACCCAGAGGUGUUCAGGCAGAUCAGAAUGCUUCCUGAAGAAUACGUCCAGAGGUACCUGGCCGUGAGGAACGCAGCGGUUGUACUGCGAUAACAAGAUCCCCGCCUUACCGUGCCUGUUCUUACUAGCGAAUGUCCCGCUCUUUGAUCUGAAUAGACAUCAUCCUUUUCCUCCUGAUCGCGUUGCUAGCUCACAUGGGUAUUCUGAAUGUAGAAGAACUAGGCUACUGAACCCUUGUGCAAUUGAGAGAGAUAUUUUGCUUCUGUGUACUGUCAUCGACGUGCCUUUUGUGCCACUCUGCCCUGUUAUCCCUGUUGCUGGUGUGUUGAGAGUUGAUGGUUAAAUAUGUCGUUAGUCCGGGAAUCGGCUGUCGUUCUGAAUGACCGUAGAUACUGGCACUUGGGCAAGUCGCAACAAGUACAAAUUUAUUGGGGGAAAAGGCAUCCGCGUAGUUUCUUUUAAAAAGUUUUCCGAAUAGGCGUCUGCAUAGUUGCAACAAGUGCAAAUUUAUUGCUUUCAAGGAGCGGCCAUACCUGAAUUCGGACCGAAGGAAGGAAUUACCAUAAUCCGCAUUCGUAUUCAAAUGGUCUCAGAAUAAAUCAUUUACAGUCAUACUAGCAUUUUCAGGAGUUGGUCGUGCACAUUUUCUUACUUUUAUAAUCCAUCGACGUGUAACAUCGCCCUGACAAUUUUUACACUAAAGUUGCCAUAAAAAAACCCCAAAAAAGAUGAAAGUUGCUAUCCAAACAGAAAGUUGCCAUGCUUCACAACUAAAAUUCCCAUCCUCGGGUAACCAAACUUGCAUAAAAAAAAAUAUCAGUGCGAAAUUGCUUCGUGCCACACCUCUUUUUACCGGUUCCGGUAUGUACCGGUACAACAUCCACCACACAGUGCCUUUUAAGAUCUAUGCAGUUGCGGUCCUACUCUAUAAGUAUAUCUCUGUAUUGUCCAACUUCUAUUUUCGUAUCUCAGCACUUAAGUCAAAUAGUGAUCCCAUCCGCACAUGUAUGACACAUAUUCUCUCUCCUCCCAACAAUGGCACGGACAUAAUCGCUCGCAUCUCUCCCUCACUAAAUUCAUGUCCUUUUAUUUCUCUUUUGAUACUUUCAAUCAUUCAUAUCUUUUAAGCUACAAAAUUAUUUUUAAAACUUUUGUUAUAUUUGAAUUCCUAGCGACGAGACCUUUCGAACAAGACCAAUCUUCAAUGCAUUUAAACUAGUUUCAAUUUUACCAUUUCAAUCAAAUUUAUGUUGACUGAACUAUGUUAAAAAUCUAUGUUUUUAAAUAAGUGAAAUGAUUUUUGAAUUGAGUGAAAUCUAGUUUUGAAACAAGUGAAAUUGUUGUUUAAAUGAUAGUUCUUUUGAAAUAAAUGAAAUAACCUUUCUAAAAUAAGUGAAAUUAAUUUUUUGAAAUGAGUGAAAUCUUUCUUUUCAUACACAUGACAGAUAUUCUGGUGUGAAAUACAUGAAAUUAUUUAUUUCAAAGUUUUGAAACUAGUUAUUUGAGACAAGUGAAAUAAGUGUUUUGAAAUGAACGAACUCACUUUUCCAACAUAUGCUUUUUAACUGAGUGAAAUCUGUAUUUUGAAACGAUCGAAACUUGUUUUCUUAACUGUGUGAAAUUAUUUUCUCGAAAAUGAGUGAAAUCGGUUAUUUCAAAUAUGUGAAUCUGUUAUUUUAAAAUAUACGAAUCAUGUGUUUUUGAAAUACGUGAACUCAGCGAAAUAUGUGUUCUGAAAUAAGUGAAAUCAGUUUAUCUAAACUACGCGAACCAAGUGUUUUGUAAUGAGUGAAACCUUUUUUUAACACAUGAAAAAUAGAUUUCUCAAAGGAGUGAAAUGUGCCUUUUCAAUUAAGUGAAAUACUUUUUUUUUGGAAGAAGUGAACAACAUUUUUUCUGAAUGAAGUGAAAUAGGUUUUUUGAAUUGAGUGAAACCAGUUUUAUGAAAUAAGUGAAAUCAUUGUUUGAGUGAGUGAAAUCGUUUCUUGAAAUGAAUGAAAUAUAAUAUUUGAAACGAGCAAAAUCUGUUCUAUGAAGCGAGCGAAUUUGUUUUUUUCAUUUGAGUGAAAUCGGUUUCUUCAAAUAACUGAAAUGGGUUAUUCAAAACGAGUGAUAUCAAAUGAGUGAAGUUAGUUUGUAAGUUCCAUAUUCCAGUUUGUGAAAAUGUUUGAAACCGUAGAUAUCACUUAUGUGAAAUAGUGAAACCUUUUUAAUGUUUUAUGGAAAUGAUUUCAAAGAUAAUUGAAAUAUAUAUAUAAAAAUGUAGUUCAAAUAUAUCCAAAAUUGAUCUUGUACUGAAGGUCUUCACACCACGAAUUCAAAUAUAUAAAAAGUUCAAUAAUGAAUUUUGGUUCAAACGGUAUGAAUCGCUAAAAAAUUGAGAAUGAAAAUAAAAAUGCAUGUUCAUUGUACGUGGUGAGAGAAUGCAUGCAUGCACUUUCUCUUUUUUUUUGCGGGGUAAAAAUGAAUUUCAUUACUCAAGGAGGCCGUUCAGCCAUACAAAGAUUUACAAUGUCGUGCAAGCCAGAUCCCAACCACACGGCGGUGCGAGGGGUACUAUGACCAUAAGCGGCAAGAGCAUGACUAACAGUGUUUUGAGAGCGACUAAUAUGGCUAAUAGAAAUCUUCCGAGGGUCAUCUCCAAUUAACCCAAGAAUCUCUUGCACCAAUACACGAUGGUUCGAGCGAUGCACGGACGGCGAGUUAAGCAUCGACACCGCUUCCAAACUAUCCAUCUCAACGACAAUCGGCAACUCAGUAUGGUGGAGGGCGAGAGCCAGCCCUUCACGCAUGCAUGCAUUUUCUCUCCACUGUAAAAGCUGACACUGUCUGACGCAAGUACAUGUAUAGCUCUAUUUAAUCUGCUGUAUUUGCACAUGAAAAGAAAUUGUAUAAAACCUGCACAAAUCUUGAUGAAACUGAUGAACGGUGGAUUGCGCACCGGUACAUACCGGCACCGGUAAAUUUACUAAUUCGCCCAAACUAUAUGCGUGUGAGUGCGAGUGAACAAGCAGCAAGCAAAGGGAAAGUGCACGCCGAUUCGGCCAAUUUCUUUCAGGCAGCUGCGACCAGCUCUGUGCGUGUGCGACGGUACGUAUAUGCAUGCGUGUUGCGGCACCAUCCGGGAAGCGAGGAAAAUCUCCCAAGUAGCAGAAGAUGACGACGACCAAGAAUAUGUGAGUGGCGACGACUGACGAUAGCAACCGCCGUCGAGAAGAAGAAGAUGCGGAGAGACGACAUCCAUCCAUGGUCUCCCUCCCAGUCAAUACGUUCCACUAGGCGGAUCCGUUGAACCUGCUCGCAUGCAUGCCCCGUCCUGCUCGCCAUUGGCACCGGCACCGCGCGCGCGCCUAAAUAGAAGCGGAGGCGGCAUGGUUUCUACGUACCUGCUUAGCUCGCUCGCCAACCAUCGCAAGCGAAGUAGCUAGCUAAUGGCGCCGAUCCACAGCAAGCAAACGCUGCUGGCGCUGGCGCUGGCGCUCGCGUUUGUCAGCGUCGUGGCGGCGCGAGGGGAAGCGCUGCCCGCCGCCCGGCACGAGCGGUGGAUGGCCAAGUACGGGCGCGUGUACGCGGACGCCGCCGAGAAGCUGCGCCGGCGGGAGGUGUUCGCGGCCAACGCGCGCCACAUCGACGCCGUCAACCGGGCGGGCAACCGGACGUACACGCUCGGGCUCAACCAGUUCUCCGACCUCACCAACGAGGAGUUCGCGGAGACGCACCUCGGGUACCGUCACCAGCCCGGCGGGCUCGCGCCGGCGGCCGCGGUGAACGUGUCCAUGGCUCAGCUGCAGUCCACGCUCCCAGACAGCGUGGGCUGGAGGGCCCGGGGCGCCGUCACCCCAGUCAAGUACCAAGGUCACUGCGGUAAGAAUCAUCUGCACCUCCUGCAUGCAUAGCAUAGCAUAUACCAUUGGACAAAGUUGGCAAAUGAAUAAGGGAAUGUUGACACGUCGUUUGCGUGCGUGCAGCGAGCUGCUGGGCGUUCGCGGCGGUGGCGGCGACGGAGGGGCUGGUGCAGAUCGCCACCGGCAACCUCAUCCCCAUGUUAGAGCAGCAGGUGCUGGACUGCACGGGCGGCGCCAACAGCUGCAAGAGUGGCCACGUCAACGCCGCCCUAACCUACAUCACCGCCAGCGGCGGCCUGCAGACGGAGGCAGCCUACGCGUAUGGCGCCAAGCAGGGCGCGUGCCGCAGCGGCGGCCUCGGCCCAAAUCCGGCCGCCUCCGUCGGCGUCCACCGGUCUGUGACACUGCACGGCGACGAGGGCGCGUUGCAGGCGCUCGUGGCCAGCCAACCGGUGGCCGUGGCCGUGGAGGCCGACGCUGACUUCCACCACUACAGGAGCGGCGUGUACGUCGGCAGCCCGUCGUGCGGGCGGAACCUGCACCACGCCGUCACGGUGGUGGGCUACGGGGCGGACGGCGGCGCCGGCGGGCAGGAGUACUGGGUGGUGAAGAACCAGUGGGGGGCUGGGUGGGGCGAGGGGGGCUACAUGCGCCUCACGCGCGGGAACGGCAACAACUGCGGCAUGGCCACCCACGCCUACUACCCCACCAUGGACACCUCUUGAAAACCACAUCAGUAGUCCAUGCAGCAUCGAGUAUGGUUUAUCAGCUAGCUACAGAACGAUGCAGCUGCAGUACCACGUAAACGUACGUAUAUAUGGAUUUUGGUUUUUGGAUAAUGAACAUCGAAAGCAUGGAAUGAUGCGUUCGCCUAUGUAAUAGUAUAAACUUGGAAACUUGUAUAUGCCAAUUUUCCUUCUGCUAGCUGUUCAUCAACCAAAAUGGGUCAGCAAAAAAAUUGACAAACUACGUCGUGCUUUCUUAUGGGCUGGCUCCGAUGCCGUCUGUGGAGGCAAAUGCCUUGUCCGCUGGACCCAGGUGUGCUCACCCAUCUCCAUUGGCGGGCUGGGCAUCCAUGACCUACAAGCUCAGGGGCGAGCGCUUAAAGUUCGCUGGCUUUGGCAGCGCGCCACAGAUCUGGAUAAGCCACGGCAAGGUCUGCAACUUCCUGUUGAUAAGCAUGUUAAGGCUCUUUUCAUUGCUUGUACCUCCAUCAAGAUUGGCAACGGCAUUAGGAUCUCCUUUUGGCAUGAUCACUGGCUCGGCGGCGAGACUCCGGCUGUUUCAUUUCCUAACCUUUUCAAGCACAGCAAGAACAAAAAAAUAUCAUUGCCUGAAGGUCUCACCAAUAGAAAAUGGGUCACCCUUCUCAAGCGCAACACAGGCAUCGAUGUGCUGCGUGAAUAUAUUGAAUUCUGGCACAGAUCCAGGGUGAUCACUUUGUCCAACCUAGAGGACGAGUUCAUUUGGAAAUGGUCGUCUGAUGGAAGAUACAAUGCUAAGUCAGCUUACCUAUGUCAAUUCUGGGGCAAGAUUGAUUCUCCUCUACCUGAGAUCAUAUGGCAUAUUAAGGUUCCACCAAAAAUAAGAUUCUUGAGCUGGCUCUUUGUACAGGGCAAAUGUUUGACUGCAGAUAACCUUGCAGAGCGGGGUUGGCCUCACAACCCGGUCUGUCAACUAUGUCAUUUAGGGAUGGAAGACAGCCUGCACCUUGUAGCUAGCUGCCGUUUCACGGCUGGAAUCUGGGGCUAUUGCUUGGCGAUAUAUAAGUUUCCCUUCAACCUCCUGCCUACUGCUCAUGAUGGCUCUCUAUUGGACUGGUGGUUAAAGGCUCUGGAUGGUAUAGGUACAAGCAGGAAAAAGGAUCUCUCAUCUCUAAUCAUGGCGGUUUCCUGGCAUGUUUGGAGUGAAAGAAACAACCGUAUAUUCAAUAAUAAGGUAACCCAUUUCCUGAAGGUCGCUGAGAGCAUCAUCAACGAGCUCAACUCUUGGAGAAUCGCUGGAUUCAGAGGAGCUCAAUGGACUGGCGCAGGAUAGCAUUCUUUCCUCCUUCCAUGUGUACAUUUAUAUAGCUUUUACUUCUCCUUUCUGGCUCUCAGCCGUUCUGUAAAUCUUGAACUGUAUCUCUUGGGGUGACUCAUCCUAUCUUAAUGAAUGAAAUCAGCACAAUGUUGUUUUUCGUCAAAAAAAAAAAAAUCAAUGGAACGGACGUUCUGAAUGUUCUUCUCAUGCCUCGCCUUUUCCAUGCCUGUUCUUCUUCCUCUCACAACCCGACACAAAUCUGGAUCUAGUUUAGCUGCACGCCAGUCGCCUGAAAAUCCAAUUUUGGUCAGUUGAUUUUUGCUAGAAGGAAGCAGCCGCCGGAGGGAAGGAAGAAGCAACCGCCACUCGCUAGAGAAGCUAUCCCAUUAUCUAGCUGCCCCAUGAUCUAUCUUAGGGGUGUUGUGGGUGCAAGUUCGUCGGAAAAAAUGAUGCAUGGCCGGGGGAGGGGCCGCAUUGGGGGGAGGGCGGGGCGGCGAGGCUGACGCGGGAGCGCCACGGGUGGUCGAGGGGAAGAGGAUGAACAGGAAGUUAGUCUGGAGGUGAAGAAGCUAAUCCGACCAUUCAUCUCGCAUCCGACGACUUAAAACAAUUGAUUGAUCGAAAAUAUUUUUUUCAGGCGGUUGUCAUAUAGCUAAUUCCAUCUGGACUCAAUUUUUUCACCAAAAACAGUAGGAUAGGCCACCUUGCAACAUUAUAUUAAAAGAACCGUCCAAAAUGUUCACAAGAAAAAAAAACAUACUUGCAUCUCAUCAACCAGUUCAAGAAUGCCCAUGUUGAUGUACUGUGUAUGACCUGUUACAAGUCUGAUACUUGAACCUAUAAUAAACCUAUCUUCAUGCAGGCACGAUACGUGGAUCUGAGGACGAAGCUGCGCUACGACGAUCCAGAGGUUUUCAGGCAGACCAGAAUGCUUCCCGAGGAGUACGUCCAGAGGUAUCUGGCGGUGAGGAACGCGCAGCUGUGCUAAGAUAACAAGCUCCCGGCGUUGCCGUACCUGUGUAUACGAGGAGCCACUGUCCCGCUCUUGGAUCUGAAUAGGCAUCGUCGUUUCCCUCCUCAUCGGUUGCUAGCUGAAUCCGCUCCCUGAAGCUCAAACAAACAGGGCAUGAGUGUACAAGGACUAGCGUACUGAGAGCAUCUCCCGCCGUUGGCCCCCCAAGCGGUGAUUUUACGCGCCCCCGAGGACGAGCCGGCGAUAAAAUCGGCACGGGGGCGAGCGGGUUCCCAGCCGCUUGCCCCAGGGUCGCCCUAGACGUGUAUUUUUUUUAUUUUAAAACAUCUGAAUUCGGCAAAGUUGGGCCAAACUCGGCAUAAAUUCGGCUAACUUGACAUUCAUAUUUAACAUGUUCGGUGUUUACAUAAAUUAUAUAUAUAAAAAGACAUCUACGGGGCGAAGAAGUCGCUGAGCGCGGCGAAGUCGCCGACGUCGCCGCCGUCCUCGUCGUCGUCGGCGGCCUUCUCCUUCUUGAUGGCGCGGCCGCCCCUGCUGCUGGACCCCUGCCCGGCGUCUCCAAGGCAGACCGGUGGCGGCGGCGCGUCGUCGUCGUCGCCGUCGUUGAGGACGAUGACGCCUCCCUCGUCCCGGCCGCGGCACCGGGCUUCGAAGCGCUCCAAGGCGAGGAUCUGGCGCUGCAGCUCCGUCUGCGCCCAGUCAUCGCGCGCCCAUUUCAGGGCCGCCUCGUCGUCGAGCUCCUCCUCCUUGACGCCGCCGGCGAGCCCCGGCUCCCGCUUGACGACGGCGAGCCCCGGCUCCGUCUUCGGUUUGACGAAGCGCGGAGGUGCUGAGGAGGAGGCGCGCCGGCCGCCCUCGUUAAUGACGAUGCCGGCGCGCCGACUGAGCGGCGUCUCCCCGGCGGGCUCUGGCUUGACGCCGAAGAGCGCCGGCGAGCCGAUAGAGUGGGAGGAGGAGGAGGAAGAGCCNNNNNNNNNNNNNNNNNNNNNNNNNNNNNNNNNNNNNNNNNNNNNNNNNNNNNNNNNNNNNNNNNNNNNNNNNNNNNNNNNNNNNNNNNNNNNNNNNNNNNNNNNNNNNNNNNNNNNNNNNNNNNNNNNNNNNNNNNNNNNNNNNNNNNNNNNNNNNNNNNNNNNNNNNNNNNNNNNNNNNNNNNNNNNNNNNNNNNNNNNNNNNNNNNNNNNNNNNNNNNNNNNNNNNNNNNNNNNNNNNNNNNNNNNNNNNNNNNNNNNNNNNNNNNNNNNNNNNNNNNNNNNNNNNNNNNNNNNNNNNNNNNNNNNNNNNNNNNNNNNNNNNNNNNNNNNNNNNNNNNNNNNNNNNNNNNNNNNNNNNNNNNNNNNNNNNNNNNNNNNNNNNNNNNNNNNNNNNNNNNNNNNNNNNNNNUGCCAGCGGCGGGUUGUUGCCGCCCUCGAGGUACUCCAGCACCCCGUGCAAUGUGCGGCCGGGGACGCCCCACCAGAGGCGGCGGCUGUCGCUGUUCUUGAUGCCCCCCACGACUGGCGCCCCGUUCGUGGACGCCAGCCGCUGGAAAUACUCCGCCCAUGCCACGUGGUUGUCGGCGGCGUACUGGGGGAGGGCGCGCUGCUCUUCAGUCAGGGACGACCACACGCGGUCGACCUCGGCGGCAAAGAUGUCGGGGCGCGCGUCGACGUCGGGCACCGGGGGGAUGGGGACGCCGCCGUUGCUGAGCCUCCACCCCGUUGGCCCGACGCGCAUGUCCGGCGGCGCCGGGAUGUUGGCCUCGAAUAGAAGCCACGCCUCCGACGACUGGAGCGAGCGGCGGCCGAAGCCGUUGGCCGCCGCGGCGUCACCGGGGAAGCGUUCGGCCAUCGUUGGAGAGGGAAGGAGGGAAGGGGAGGACGGGGGAGAUAGAGCUCGGCGGCACGGACGGGAGAGAGCAGAGCUCGGCGGCGGCUGGUUUGGGCUCGGGCUGGUGUGGCCAGCGGCGAGGGGGAGCGGCGCGUCUUUAUAGCCCUCGCUGUGUGUACGCGUGGCGGGAGGGGAGGCGUCGCCGGGCCGCCCGUGACGCGCUGGCCCGUGAGGAAUCAAUGGAAGGCUGACCGACGGCAGCCUUGCCAUUGAUUCCCCGCGGGAAACCGAGACGCUCUGGGGGAAGACGAGGCGUCGUCUCGCUAACGCGGCUGGCCCACGACUCUUUCGCGCCAAAACCGUUCGCCCCGGCGCCCCCCAACGCGCCGGGUUCGGCCUGGGUCCGCCGACGUCAAUUUCGGCCCAAACCGGCAAAAAAGGAGCUCCUGGGCCAAUUUUUAAACGCCUGGGAAGGGCCUGUUAGGGGCGCGGCUGGAGAUGCUCCGAGUGUACAUGGACUAGCGUACUGAACCCUCGUGCAUUUCAGAGAGUGCCUUGUGUGCGUCUCUGUUCUGUUAUUCCUCAUGCUGGUGUUUUGAGAGUUGAUCGUUAAAUACUAUAUGUUGUUAGUAUCACUUCCUGCAGUAAAUUACAUAUCUGCUCCUUUUGAAGAAUAUGGAUUCAGAUUAUGAAGUAUAAAAACACAACAUCGAACACAUAAAGAAGAUGAAACAAUCCAAGAUAACACCAGACAUAUUAUAGUUAACCACACUGUUAAUCUUGAUCCUUGGAGGCAAACCAAAACCAUCCCUAUGGUAAAAGUUUAAAAGGAGCAACAAGUUUAGCAUGACUCAAAGUUUUUCAACUGAAAGCAUGAUUCUUCGUUGCAUCGCACAAAGGCUCGGCUCUAUGCAGGAACUCCACUUCGGCUUCACAAUAGGGCGAUGUCUACAUCGACUACAGUUCACAGCAGACUGCGGAGACAAGCAUCUUGCCAAGUUAUUUCCCCAAUAUAAGCUAAUCGCAUGUAGAUUUUAUUAGAAUCAGGUUCCUGCAAUAGCAACAGAAGUACGCGUAAGUUCUAAUAAUAUAUAUGAAUCACAUAAUAUUUUCUCACAGUAGACAGCAUUUAAGCAGAAAAUAUGACAAGUGAAAAUAUUGAGCGGUUACCUUGUUUACUGUAACACACAAAAUUCUGGCACCGGCAACAAACGAUGAACCACAAUACAUGAAUUUACUAGAGAGAAGGCAUGAAUAUAUGAAUUUUACUAGAGAGAAGGCAUGUACUAGCAAGUAUAAGAAACAACAGACAUAGCUUUGACAUCAAGGGUAAAUGACUGCCAAUGCAGGUUAUAUAUUCUACUGAAUUUGUUAAUUUUCAUCUAGAUGAGAAUUAAUAAAGUCUCAUAUAACUCCUACACUAUUUGAUUAACAAACAAAAAAAUAAAAGAAAAAAAUCCCCACGAAUCUCCGCGUAAAAUCCAACAGUGUAGGAGUUAGAUGACAUAGUUAGUUCUCAUCCACUCCCUCCGUUCCUAAAUAUAAGACAUUUUGGUAGUUCAAAUUGAAAUGCCAAAACCUCAUAUAUUUAGGAACAGAGGGAGUAGAUGAGAGGUAGACACAUCCAUAUUUUAUUUCAUAAGAGCAUGCAACAAUCAGUCAUUUUGUGAACCUUCAACAACCAUUAUGGUAGUCUGCAUUCGACUCCACUAACGUAUGUUUUAACAUAUGCAUCAUCAGCAACAACGCAGUUUCUUAUACCUGGGUCAUGUUUGACAUUACCAACCUGAUAUGCUAGCAAUACAGAAUUAUGAUUUGUUAUUGGAUGAACGUAGAAUAGCUAAUUUCACAUAAUAACUUUAUUUGUUUAUUUUCCUCAAAUACACAUGACAAACUCUGGCAAAGUCACAUUUAUAAAGAACUUCGGCUGUGGCAUGUCUGACCCCUUUAAAGCAGCACAAACUGAGCAUUUUCUUGAUAUCACAGCACUCAGCAAACAGGAUUUCAACUCAUAGAAUAGCACUCAAACAAAAUACACAUGCAUUCUAUAGGAUGACAGCAACUAAAAUUUAUAACAGCUGACAUGCAAGUUCUGAUGAAAUACUUAUCGACAUGAAGGCAUGUGAAACAAUAGUAAUUCUGUGAACUUAAUGCUUUUUAUUUCACAAGAGCAUGAAACAAUCAGUAAUUCCGUGAACCUUCACCAACCAUUAGAGCAUGGCAGGCUGCAUGCUCCACCAACGCAUGUUUUAACAUACACAUUAUCAGCAACAGUGCAGUUUCUGACACCUGGGUCAUGUUUGACAUUACCAACCAGAUAUACUAGCACUACAUAAUUAUGAUCUGUUAAUGUAUGGAUGUCGAAUAGCUAAUUUCAGGUCAUAAAGUUAUUAUUUAUUUAUUUUCCUCAAAUACACAUGACAAGAUCUAGCAAAGUCAUAUUGAUAAGGAACUUUGGCUGUGGCACGGUUUGCCACCUUUAAAGCAGCAAACUGAGGAUAUUCCCGACAUCACAGCAACUCAGUAAACAGGAUUUCAAUUCAUAGAGUAAGACUCAAACAGACAUGCUAUCUAAAGGAUGAAAACAAUUAAAAUUUAUAACAGCCAAGAGCCUGAGAGUAUAUGUCAUGCAGGUUGUGAUGAAACAAUUGUCAACAAGAGAGCCAAGAGCAAGCAUACCUUGGUGCACGAUUCCAUUGAACCUCAGUAGUCGCAGAACAAGCUUGGAAGCACCCACACCUGCGGCCUCCCAAAACCAACCCCUGGUUCACCUGGAUACUGUGCAGGGAAGCAUUUACAGGUCCCAUCGACCAGAGAAUACUCGCUCCAUCCCCCACUCCAUGGCAAUGAUCCAUACACACAGUCGGCACGGAUCCCUGGAACAUCUGGACCAAGGCACGCGACGAAAUCGUCGUAGCCAAUAAACAGCGUCCGCCCGCCGAGGCUCGUCGUCAUCACCCACUUCCCCACAUUGAAGUCCCACCGGAAAAUCUUGUAUUCCGGAUCGAUGCGCCCCACCUUGCAGAUAAGCAGGGGCUCGCCACCGCACUCCCCCAGCAAUGAUCCGCCCACGGUCUCCUUCAGAGUCUCUUCAAGGUCCUCGUCGAAUUCGCCCCCAAGCAUCCACAGCUCCAGUGUGUUGUCCUUGGGGAGCGAAGCCAUGACGAGCCCGCAGGAGGGGAGGAGCCCGUAGAGGGCGCCGUUGACGAUGCGCCAGUCCUGGAUCUCAAAGUCGCCGCCGUAGGACGCUACGGCCCAGUGGGCGUACCAGAGGCUGCAGUACUGGAUCUCGGUGCGGCCCCUCGCCGGGGCGAAGACGUAGCCGCCGCUGAGGAUGACGCGGCUGUACUCCAGCGGGGGCCUGGGGAGGCGGGCCUGCGCGCCGGAGAGGAGGUCGGUGACGAGGAUCUCGCCGGUGGCGCCGUCGACGGCGGCGACGCGGGCGCCGUCGGAGGUGAGGACGCCACCGGUCCUGGCGAAGGGGAGGCGGGCGCGGAAGCGGAGGAGGCGGCGGUCGGGGACGUGGAAGAGGGCGAGCGAGAAGGCGGCGCAGCCGGGCUCGAGGACCUUGAAGAGGGACAGCGAGGGGUCGGCGGUGUGGGGGACGAGGAGGUGCGGCGGCUGGUUCGCGAGCAGGGCCCGGCAGUUGGGGAGGGCGGCGCGGUAGGCGCGGCAGCCGGCGCGGAGGGCGAAGAAGUCGUGCAGGCUCGUCAGGUGCUUCGCGAUGUCCGGGACCAGCUCCGCGGGGAUGUACGGCCCGCCGGCGUCUCCGUCGCCGUCGACGGGGGCGUUGGCGGGCAGAUCUGGGCCGCCGUCGUUCGCGGCCAUCCUCCUCCCUCCCUCCUUCGCCGCGACCAGCACAAGAUGAUUUUAUCGGAGUCGAACGAAGUCGCGAGAUUUAGGGUGGCAACGGCCGGCGGAGCCCGGCGGCGACGGCACAAAAAGAGGGGAAACUGUCAAACCCUUCACCCACGUCGGCGCUUAUGUGAGAGGGGAGAAUUUCAGGUGCUCCUGCACCUCCCGUGUUACCCUGAUACAUGAAUUUGUGGUCCGUCAGAUCGGAGAUCAACGUUUAGUGUUGAAGCCUCUAGACCUGCGCAGAAUCAUGAUACUCUUUGAGGGGUUUUCUGCAAGUUUGAGCCAACUCUUGCCAUGACCGUCGGAUCUUCGAUCCAACGGACGACGAGUUCCUGUAUCAUCGUAGCACGGGAGGUGCGGGACACCUGGAAAUCUCAAAAUUAUGUGGGAGGAUUGUGCAAUUUGUGUAUGACAUUUUCUGAAGUUCUUUUUUUUUGAGAAAGGAUUAAAGUCCACCAACUGAUCGUGUCGUUUACGCCAAUGACGUAGGAAGUCGUUGGAUCUGCUUUAGUCGUGCGACAUAGGGUGCGCCCAUCGGUGGCUUCGGCCACCACCCAACUACCCAUACAUAUGUCUCAUCAACCAUCCGCACACACUUAUCCAUGUCUCAUCAACCAUCCGCACACACUUAUCCUCUCUGUAUCUAGUCCUGGCCACGGGAAGCCCAGCCCGGCCGGCCCGACCCGACGCUGCUCCCGGGCCGGGCUCGGGCCUGCCUUUUUUGCGUUUUUCUGAAGGGGCCCGGCCCGAGACCCGGCGGGCUUUUACACGUUCGGGACGGGCUUGGGCCCAAAAAAGCAGCCCGAUGGCCGGGCCGGGCCAGGCCCGGGCCUACGUCUUUUGCCUCGGACUUGGCUAGGCCUGGCCCGGCCCGAGGUUUGGCCAGGUAUAUCUGUAUCCAUCCUCAUCCUUAUCCUCCGGUAAGCAUUUAUCUUUCCUAAAUGAAUCCUCAAGCUUGCUCCCUUUCUUUCCAUCCUCCUUCCAGAAGCUUCCAAGGUUGUCGAUCCCUCUUUCCUCUCCUCUCUUUCCAAAUAAGUUGUAAGACAUGGGUAGAGGUAGCACUGCUGCAAAGAGUGGUAGGUUCGCAACAUCAUUCGUAUUGAAUGGGGUGACCACAACAUCGUUCGUGCUAGUAAUGCGCGACCGCAACGCCUUCCGCGUUGCAAUGAACGACCACAACGCCAUCCGUGUUGCAAUGAGCGACUACAACGUCAAUGGGCUUCCACAAUGUCGCAUAUGUUGCAAUGGGUCACCCAAUGUCGUUCAUGUUGCAAUGGGCAACCGCAACAUCAUCUGUGUUGCAAUGGUAGCAGUAGAAUGCUAUGUGGACACAGAGCUGAUAGCCAGCAACACAAACGAUCCCUUCCCAAGAUCAACGUGUUGACGGCUAGCGUCGACCAUGGGAACUAACAAACAACCACUAAUCACACCAAGCGAUUCGUCAACUGGAGCGGUCGCCACGUUUCCCUCACAGGGCCCACACAUCGCUUUCCCCAUCUACCCUUAUGCCUAACAGUGAGCACAACCACCUGUUGACCCUUUGUUUUUCUUCUUCGCCCAACCUCUUUUCUCCCUGGAUCUCGUCCCCUACUUGUUCUUUUCUCUUACCACUCUGGCAGCUCACCCUCGCACAUACCCCACAACCAUCCUGCAUCGGCAAGCAGAUGUUGCAACGCAGCGCAUGGCUGCAAGCCUACCUCAAGUAGACAAUAUUGCUUCGAGGGGCAGUUGCCAUGCUGCGAGGUUGCCAUCACACGUCGAUGUUGCAGCAACGCCGCGACAUGGCAGAAGAUGUUUCUAGGUCGUGACCAAGGAGAAGCGUCGUUGGUGCUGCGACCUGACAGUUAUUGUAGCAAGACAAUGGUUGCACCCAGUGUUGCAACUGGCUUUCUCGACGAUGUUGCAAGCGCAACCACCGGGGUGGGGGGGGGGGGGCAUGGUCAGUGCAUCGAAAAGGGCUCGAGGGUUGUAACAUCGUCAGGGGCUUCAAGCACAUCGAUGGAUUGCAACGUCGCUGGUGCCUUAGGCACAUCAUGGGGUUGUAACAACAUGUGGUUCAGGCACAUCGACGCGUGUCUCAUGCAAUUGCGAUGACCGCAACAUGGCCGAUGUUGCAAUGGCAACCACAAGGAUGUCCAUAUUGUGAUGGGCGGCCGCAUUAUUCGUUCGUGUUGCGCUGGUGGCAGCCUGACCCAACGACUACGUUGGGUCAGAUCCGACGGCUUGUAACCCGACUGAUCUUUGGCAAAGAUCAGUUUGGCCGAUGAGUUGUGCUGGCCUUUUAGAUGGAUCCAAGAUUGCUAUUAUGUAAUAAACCAAAACAUUUGGCAUAGGCUUUGCCUUAUUGGCUCGCAUGUUACUUGUGCAUCACUUGCUAAGAAAACUCCACCACGAAUUAGCUCCAACGAUAUUUUCGAUUCAGUACAGUCAACUGCUAGAUGGCGAAGACUGGCAAUCGACCGUCAUUGCCCAAUCCUCUCAAAGUGGAUGAAAGCUUCAACAUCCAUGUAGCUCUCCCACAAUCAUCGAUGAUGAGGAAGCUCCCUCCUGCCCUCCCCCACUCGGCCAGACAGAUUUCGGCACACGUUGCUACACGAGUCGAUGGCUACUUCUACGCACGUGGGGGGGGGGGGCUCUUUUCUCAUCAAUGCCACCGUUGCUGCAACACGAUGCGAGGAUGCUACAAGGCCUGGGUGCACCACUCAGUGGUGCUGCAAGGUAUCUCUUGUUGUGCUGCGAGGGAUCUCUCGUCUGCAACAUGGAAGAUGUUGCAAUGGUCGGAACCUUGCCGACGAUUGCAACGUGAAAGAUAUUGCGAUGACAAGAACCUUGGCGACAACUGCAAUGUGGAUGGUGUAGCAACUACAACAUGAGGGAUGUUCUGAUGGAUGGAACCUUGGCAAUGACUUCAAUGCAGGCCAUGUUGCAGAAGUUUGCAACAUAGGUCGUGGUCGGUGCAACUCUGUUUGGACGGAGGCGAGCAUCAAAGAGGUUUUUUUUGCGGCUGCAACAUUGGCCACUUUGCAAUGAUAGAAAACGCUUUGUACAUGGCGCAAACAUGCAUGGCUCAUGUUGCAACCCUCGAGCACAACACGAGCCAUGUUGCAAAUGGUUGGGGUAGAACUGAGUGAUUGAUGCGGCAGAGAUCGGACGACGCACACAUGAUUCAACGGCCAUGGAGGCGACCGAUCCGAUCCGUGCUUCAUUUGGCGACGCGUAGUGUUGUCCAUAGUAAUUUUUCCUCACAACCGUAACCACUUUGAUGAGAUCUCCGCUCUCGGCUUCCCCAUUGAAGCUAGCAAGCCUAUCUUACAACCCAACCAUUUGGCGAGGUCUCAUGCACCGACUAAGUUGUCGUCAUCGCUCUUGUGUCGUUGGUGGCUCUAUCUCGCGCUAGCCCCACACUAACUCUGCUGCUACCACAUCACUGCCAGCUCAAUCUUACUGUAUGAAUCAACUAGUUUUAGAAAACACAAACAACAACAUCAUACAACUAUGUUUUUAUCAAAUCAAAACCCCAAAUGUGUAAACAAUGCGCUCAAGAAAAAAUCUAGUUGUGAGAAGCAUCAAAUUCAAAGUUAGCAGUGAUAAAUUUCAGAAAAACCGCACAACUUUAUAAAAAAGGUGUGGAGCCAUAGUAGCCAUGCUAUUUCUACCUCACAUGAUUAAUUGUUAUUUUCAAAUCGAUCAUGUUGCACAUCUCAAGUCUGAAGUUGCACAAAAAGUUGUUUGCAACUUCUGGUUUAGAAACAACGCAGUCAUCUACAUGCACAUUCUUGAAAUCAAUGUUGCAUAGAGCAUAGAAAAUGUGGAACUACUCAUCUUCAGAAUCUACGUUCAAGAUCAUCAACUGAGAGAGAGAGAGAGAAUUUCAUGGUCACUUUUCCUCAUGGUAUUUGGCACUAGGAAAUCGAUUGUAUAUAUUAUGGUAUAGUGAUAUCUGAAUUGCAAUGAUUACUAGCUUUGCACAUGCCUUUUUUUCCUCGUCUAGAUCUAUACCACCUAACGACGAUUACAAGCAUUAAAGCGAGCCAGAGGCGCGUCACCUUUAUUGCCCCUCCCUCUCCGGAGUCGGACAACACAAUCAGAAAGUCAUCAUGCUAAGGCCGCAUAGAACAGCGCACCAAAAUAACAAUCGCCGCCGAUGAAGAAUAGCAUAGAUCGGAAGGAUCCAAUCCAAAGACACAUGAACGUAGACGAAUGACGACCAGAACCGAGCAAGAUCCACCAAAGAAAGAUCCGCUAGAGACACACCUCCACAUGCCCACCGACGAUGCUAGACGCACCACUGGGGCGGGGCUAGACGGGGAGAAUAUUAUUCCAUCUUCAGGGAGCUGCCUUCGUCUCGCCUUCUCGAGCAGGACGUAAACCCUAACAAAACUCAGAGAAAUAUCUAAAAACGGAGCCCUCCCGCAAGCAAAGGAAGGAAUCUACUGCGCCUCCAUGGCCCGAAGGCCAUUGGAGACGAGGCGGACUGGCAUCGACACAGGCGGGAGGUAAAGGAACCCUAAGCUUUUUUGGAGAGGAAGCGGAGGCUACGUAGACAACUCUGUGUUGCAUAUAUAUGUCGGAGGUGUAGUGGAGAAAGCCGCGCCACAGUUACUACUUUAAAAUUAAAUCAUCCGUGCGGAAUAUGCUGGUUCGAAGUGUCACUAGGCCAUCAAUAUAUUUUAAGCUAAUGAUGUUACAAAUACAUGUUUUAGACUGCAAUAUACUCUUCUAUUCAGUACGGUAAACUGUGUACACAGUAUGUCGAUUUUUUUUUGAGGAUGGUUAAUUUGUAUUUUCAACAUGCUUGGGGCUCUUCUUCCAUUCUAGAAUUUGGGGUGUGCUAAUCUCAUGCGUAUGGGACGUCCGUGCCAGCCAGUUGGUUGAGCAUAGAAGUUAUAUUGAUGUCCUAGCUGCAUGAUUGCCCUUCUGCAUGACAAAGUAAGGUAGAUUCAUCAAAGUUUUAUGGCUGCUCCAGCUAUAGUAGCUAUCAUAGUCAUAGCAGUAUAAAUACUAGGAACUUCACUGGUUUAACCGUCCAUGCUAUUGUAGUUGAGAGCUAUGAAGUGGAUACAUAUAUUUCCUUUGUAUAUUAGUAUAUGGUGGAGUAUGCAUGAAAUAUUGGAGUAUAACAAAAUACAACUUCUGUAACGACAUAGCUAAAGCUUGCUAAGCUGGUGCAGGGAGUCUUCUUCAUUAGUUGUGAGUGGAUCAUUGCCAGCAGUGUUGGAAAACAAGGUCGACCGACUUCCCAAUGGAUCCAAGCGAAAGCUCAGCUGUCCUCCCUUGAGGCCGGGGUACUCUUGCCCAAAUGGGAGCGUGGAGCAAUCUCGACACAGAUCAACAAGGAUGCGUCUAGUAGGCUGCACCCAGCCCAACCAGCCUCGCUGGAUGCAGUUUUUCUUUCGUGUUGGGCUGUUUGGUUGUAUGUAAUCAUUGUUGGGCUUACAUGGCAUGCUUCUUAAAACACCGUUUUGGCUGCAUCGUUAGCACAUAUUUUCUUCUAAGCACCUCUUUAAUUCCCUUCACCCCUUCUACACAACUGUGAUUCGAUUCGUGAUAAGCUGUACACGAAAAAUAUGCACCUCGAUGUUCUGAUUCCAUUCAGGCGAUCGAAUCAUAGUUUCGUUCACUCUAUAUGUUGAAUUUCGUGUUCAUAUUUGAAGCUUUCGCCGCUGGCCCCGGGAGGGAAAGCACGUUGUCGCCGCGCACCUGGACGCUGGCGUCGCGCUCCUCGGCGUCUGCAACGCCAUCGCUGCCCGCGUCCACCGCCUCCUUCGCCACCCAUCACUGUCCCCGUCCGACCUCGUCUCAUCGUCGCCCUUGUCCCCGUCCUCGCUUCGCCGGGCGCAGGCCGUCCUCGCCAAUCGCGACGGCUGCUGCGUGCCAGGGGCCACUCCCUCCCCUAGCCCCUGUCCUCGCUCCGCCGGGGCGCGGGCCGCCCUCGCCGGGGCCACUCCCUCCCCUGCACUGCUACCUUCCAUCCCGUUCGUCGACCCGCCCCACAACGGCCGCGGACAACAACUCACCGCCGUCGCGCGCGUCGUCCUCGCCGUCAACGCCGUCUAUCGUCGAGAGGAGGAGGCCGGCAAGGAGACACGGUAGACGGUGUUGGAGCUCCAAGGAGCCGACGGAGGAGUCGGUGAACAUUCUACUUUAACCUCUAUGCUCAGUGUAGUUGUUAACUCCUAAUCGCGAUGCAUGUAUACAACCAAACGCCGGGUAGAGGAGUCUUCCACGAUGCAGGCAAUCUAUAUGUAGGUAAUCAAUCAACAUGCAAACGUCGUAUUUUGGCCUGUAUCUACUCAACCAGACUCUGCUCAGCCUGUCCCUUUUUUUUUCUCAUGCAACCUUUAGAAAACAAUGCAGGUAACCAAACACAUCCUAAGUAUUUCAUGGUGUUCCAGAUGGCCGGUCCGGUUUUGGAAUCCGAUUAUGUACAUUUGAUCAUUGGCCGUUGAUAGCUUGGUUCGCACAUCAGGUGUGCGACGCCCACCGGUUUCACCAUCAUUACAGGCAGCCGCUUUAGCUCGUUCAGAUUAGUUCCAGUUAAUGCAAGAAACCGCAUAUAUAACCCUUAAUUUUUUUAGGAAAAAGUAUAUGUUUCGUCCCUUAAUUAUUUCGAAAAUAUAAAAAUGGUCCCUUAACUUUAAACUAGCAAACCUUAGUCCCUCAAACAAUUUCUGGAACCAGAUAAUUUUAAUCCCUCGUGCUGCUUUGUGUGGUUUUGACCGGGUCUACGUCCACGUGGCGAUCCCAGGUGUGGAUCUUCUUGUUCCUUAUCAUUCGAACUUGGCUAGGCAUUUCAUCAAGCAGUUGAUGCGCGUCCAGCACCAGGAGAAGGGCGUGGGCAUGGAGGCCUCCGGCGAGGUGGCUCUAGUCCUUGGAGAUGUCCGUAAGGCCGUUCGGGCGCUUCCCGCAGCGCGCCGCCCACGGGGUUGACGUGGAGGCUGCCGCCGCAUGUGUCCGACCCGCGGGCCGCACGCACAGCUCCGCCCUGACCUUGCUGUUGUACGAGCUCGCAUGUAUGCCGAGGCCAAGCUGUCGCGUGCGUCUGUGCCCGCUGGCUGCACGCACAACUCCGUCCCAACCCUGCUGACCUCGCCAUGCCUCGGCAUCCUGCACCUUCUCUGCAUCAGGAACCCGGCCUACAGCCAUCCCGCCGGCCCGCACCGUCGUGCACGUUCGAUGCCGCCACCCGCGAGUUCAUGAGUCCCGUCAUCACAACGCCCAGCAAUCACGGGCCACCACCUCGUCGCCCUCGCACACCGAGCGCAUCACGCAAAUCACGCGCACAGACAAGAGCAGCAACGUCAACCCAGCACGCAGCACGCACACUCAGCGCGAACGGUAGCACAUACACAAGCACAAAUCCUAGAGCUACUCAAUGCGCAGCAGCCCAUCAACUCCUGGUGGAGCGCGUCGCGUUCAGCCACAAGGAGCGUUGAGCGCAAGAGCUCAAGCAAGAAAUAGAGCCGUCGCGGCCGCCGGCCGGAGCGGGCGAGGGAGUGCAUGCUGCCGCGUGCCACCUUCGGAGCCAGGCUUGGUCAUCGGCGAGCUUCAGAGCACCGGCAUCCAGGGUGCCGACACACGAACCGUGUGCUAGCUGUUUGAGGUUGAAGAUGCUCAUUACAGUGGGGUUCAUAGGUAAGUCAGAGGGAUAAACAACAGGAAUUAAAGUUUAAAAAAUGGGGAGAGGUGGUGGGGCCCACACUUUGCCAAUCCGAGUCAAAAACCGCUCAAAGAUCGGCAGAAAACCACCCAAAGUUGCCCGAGGGACUAAACUUAUCCAGUUUAAAAAGUUAAGAGACUAAGUUUUGCUGAUUUUGAAGUUGAGGGACCAUUUGUAUAGUUUUGAAAUAAUCGAGGGAUGAAAAAAAUAUUUUUCCCUUUUAUUUAAACCGCAUCCCUGGGCGCACAAUACUGGUAGGCGUGAUAGGUGAAGUUACUAGGUCGGGUAGGUGGCUUUGUUACUGAUGCAGUCGCUCUUGUAAGUCUUAUUCUCCCAACCUAAGUGAAAAUGAAAGCCAUCCUUUGGUUACGUGUAUUUGAGAGAGAAAAAAAAAUGCAAGAAGCAGCAUGCUUGAUCUCGCAAACCUAUGCACUUGUACGCAGAAGCACGUUAAUUUUUGAUGAGACCAUGCUGAUGAAGAGGACGAGGCACGAACUGAAAGUUUGCAUGUUCUACUACACCAUGAAAACACUCCAAGUCUGACGUCCAACGAAAAAGUUUCAUCGAAACUACCUUGCGUACGAUUGUUUCCAUACGAUUUUCAUACGACAAGAGAGGCCCGCUUCUCAUGUUUGGGUCCACAACACCACAUUAGUCUGAUCGUCCAAAAGUUGUAUGUAUAGCAGCUCUCAAGUUUCAUCCUGUCAUGACUCCCGAUUCUCAUCCCAUCGGACGGUGCAUGCAUCUUCCACCGCCGCAUCAUUUAAUUCCUUAUAUGUGAGAUGUCAUUUUGUGAGGUGUCAUUUUAUUCCUUGAUGCAGAUAAUUCGGUGCUGCAUUGUAUAGUGACUUUUGGCUAUGUCAUCUUGUGGUAAAGUUUGGCGGAUAUUGUUCGGUCUCUUGCAAGCAUCUUUUUGUGUUCAGUCUUAUUGGACAAGAUUGGCUAUGUCAUCUUGUGAUUUUUCCACCCCAGGAGCUCAUUUUAAGUGAAGACGAUGCGGAUGACAAAUAGGUGACCUCGGACCAUGACCGGUACAAUAAUGUUUCUUCCAUAGUUUGAUGUCUGUAUCCAUAAAAAACACAAAGAAUCCCUACGAUAUCUUUCUUACGCAUGUCGCAUCUCAUAUCCGCCUAUCCAGUUCCAAUGCAAGAUUGAGCCUACCUUGAUGGGUUCAGGUGCGAUAUCAAUCCUUUGUGCCCAAGCCGCCUGGGUUCCAUCCCAUCCCGAUCCCAUCUGCCCCCGUGCCGCUCCCUCCCUGGGGCGNNNNNNNNNNNNNNNNNNNNNNNNNNNNNNNNNNNNNNNNNNNNNNNNNNNNNNNNNNNNNNNNNNNNNNNNNNNNNNNNNNNNNNNNNNNNNNNNNNNNNNNNNNNNNNNNNNNNNNNNNNNNNNNNNNNNNNNNNNNNNNNNNNNNNNNNNNNNNNNNNNNNNNNNNNNNNNNNNNNNNNNNNNNNNNNNNNNNNNNNNNNNNNNNNNNNNNNNNNNNNNNNNNNNNNNNNNNNNNNNNNNNNNNNNCGGUGGCCUCCGGCAGGCAAAGCCUGCGCGGAGCCGGCGGCGGCGGGGCUCGUGCUCCUCACCGGCUGCUCUUUUGAUGGGGAGAUCUCAGGCGGCUGGUGACUGUCCGGAGCUCGUCUUCACGACGGCGUCCUCGAUCGUGGCAGCGGUGGUCGCUGGCGCGCGACGCGGUGUCGCCACAAUGGGAGCUCUGUCGCGGGCUUGCGGUCGCGGUCUUGGCCGCCCGUGCGGGUCCGAUCUGGAUCCUCGCGGGCCGCGGCUGGCGCGGAUGGUGGAGGCGAGAUUCGGGCUCGGCCGACGUGCUGUUCGCCGGAUCUGGUAUGGCGCGGUGCUGCGGCUCAGCACGCGGGCUGGUGGUGGCACCGGCUGUAGGUAUCGUGGUGGUGCGAUGGCCGGUCAGGCAGCGGUGGCCUGGACCCUUUUCGUCCAAGCCCCGACACAGAUGGAGGCGGACCGUGCACGACAUGCCUGAGGGAGGCUCUUCGAACAGAUCCAGGUGAAAACCUGCUCUCAGCUAGCUGCCAAGGCCGGCGGUGGCGGCGCUGUCUGCGUCGUUCCCUUCUUAAAGGCAUCGCCGUGGAGAAGUUCAAGGCCACUCUCUGCUACCUCCGGGGGAACCCUAGAUUAGUAGAUCGGAUGACGGCGGCGCUUUGGUGUCGUUUCCCUCUGGGGGCGUCAUUCUUGGAGGUGUACAUGGGCCGAGGGACCAGUGGAAGGCUUCUUUGGUGGAGCGGUGCUUCAGCUUAUGCAUUGAUGGCGGCGGAUUUCGGCGGCAUGGCGCAGUGGAGAUUCGGCGUCCGAUGCGCGGAGAUGGACUCGCGCAGGAGGAGAAAACUGUCUGGCGUCAUGGUGGCGUCGAUGACAGGGAGGCCUGACAAGGUCGGUGCAUCAGUUCUGCUCUGAGGAUGGAUCGAUGGAAGAUGGAGGUGACGGCCCUCGCAGCGUGCGGUGCUCACUGAGAGUGUGCUAGACCGGUGUGUGACACAAUCCAGGCAGUGGCCUGGAUGGGGCAUCCGGCUUUAGAUGUUAGGCUUUGGUGCGAUGUCUGUUUGGUAUUAGGCCGGACAUUCGGCACACCUUCAUCAAGGGGAUAAGAGUAGCAACAACGUUGCCAAGAUGGUGGCUUCAGGCUUAUUGAUGUAUCACCUUGUAUAGUCUUUGUGAACAAUUAAUAAAAUGGCUGCAUGCAUUGUCCAGAUGCAGAGGCCGGGGUACAUCCCCUUUUCAAAAAAAAAAAACAUUAUGGCUUGAUUGCAAUGUCGGCCCAGAUAAAGCUGUUGCUGUUGAAGGUGUCGCCGAAGCGCCAUUUUGAACAGGGAAGGAGAUGGCAAGGAUGGCGUUUCACUGCCAGUUCUCCCCGCCCCAGGGCUGGGCGACAUGGACACGGGAAAGGAGGACUGCUUGACUUGCAGAUGCAGUAAUUCAUUUGGUGGAAUGUAAUUCGCUUCCUGCUGUACUUUGUGGUGGCCAACGUCAUGUUAUUAAUGUAUGUACAAAUGCCUGUGCCAUCGAAGUUUCUUUCACUGAUGUACUGGAAAUGUGGAUUUUUUCUCUCGAUGUAGCGUGUACUCCAAUAUACAUCAUACUCUGUUCCAACAGAUCUCAGUGUGGUUUAUUACUCUGCUUUGAGCAAAGUGUGCUAGCAUUAUUUGUAAUUAGUUGUGCUUAUAAUUUGUUAGUAUUAUUUGCAAUAAGCUGUCGUACUAAUUUACAAAGACGAUAUGUAACUGUGUAUUGCAUACUCCUAUAACUAAAUGACAAGUAUUGUGAUAACAAAAAAGGUCUUGCCACGCUUCUCCACUUAUCAAGCACGCUUGUCUGUUAGUCGGUUGAGCAUAGAAGUUAUAUGAUGGUUCUAACUGUCCUGAUCUGCAUGCCAGUUAGUUAGUUUCACCCAAGUCAUAUGACAUAUUACCAAUCCUAGUAGUGUAAAUACUUCUCUAAAAAAGCUAGUAUAGAUACUAAGCGCUUCUCCACAUCUAAGCUGUACAGCUCCACUGAUGUUGAGGAUUAAUUUGAUACAUAUAUUUCUCUAUAUUUAAGAGAGUAUGAGAUAUUGGGGUAUACCAAAAGAUAGAAGGUUCAAGGUUUCGAUUGUCUCUGCAGCAGCACUAAUGUCUCCUCUUCCCGCUAGUAUUUCUUUUUCUGGUGGACGUUUCAAGCUGCAAUGCAUCAGACUGGAAGCUAUUAAGCCGCUUUGCGUCGUCCACAUCUGGAAGCUUUGGCCAGGAAUGCCACGACCAAGGACGCGGUGCUGCUGUGCUGUCCGUUUUGAUGGGCCAUCCUCGAGUUGCCCCUUCCAAAGCAAUCUGCUCGCUGGUGGUGGUCAUCGACGUCCUCCGUGCGGCCGCGUGGAAGGCUACAUAUUGUUGUUUCUCGCUUGUCGUCGUGGAAUUUGUUGUAGUGCUGUCCACGAAACUGCCAUUGUUGCCACUGGUCUUUUGCAUGUAGGGAACCCAGUCUGUGCAGGUACUGCUAGCACUUGUGAUUGCUGCACAAAUAGGUGCUUUAUUACUUGCAUAUUCUUCUAGUCUGCCUCGCACCUUGUGAGUCAUGGAAGAUAAAAGUGCAGAGACGUCAGAGGUUCCAGUGUCGACAAAUUAUGGGAGAGUAUGCAUAAAUUGUUUGCUGAGCUUGUUGAGCAAUCCCAACAAAAAACUAAACAAACCAUCACUUUGGAGCCUAAUCCGGUCAAGUUUUCUGGACCCCAUAAUUAUUUCAGUUGGUCACGGCAUGCGACUCUGAUUUAGGAUCUCAUGGUCUGAAACAUUUUAUAGACGCCCUCGCAAAAGAAAAACAUUUUACAGACGGAACGUUUGUGAAACCAGAUGAUAAAGUUGAGUUAGAGCAAUUUUAAAUUGAACGAGCUCCAUGUUUUGGCGUGGUUCUUGGGGUCGAUGGAACCUUCAGUUGGUGAGCAGGUUGAGAAUCUACAAACUGCAGCAGAAGCGUAAAAGGAAAUUGAACAAUAACUCUUGGGGAAAACAAACAUAAUGAAGUGACACGAGUGCUCCAUGAGAUGAGAUGAAACAAGGUGAGAGGUGUAUAUAACUAACAAAUGGAAGAAAAAUACAUACUCGUAUAUCAUUAAAGGGUCUUCUAUUUAACUGCCACAGAACAUCCAAAACUACAAUUGCACACUGGUGAAUAUUGAUGUGCAAAUUAGUCGAUUUAAAAUUAAAAGGGAAUUCCGGUUUUUACCCCCUAUUUUAACAUUUUUGACACUAAUUAGCCCAUUUAACGGGAUUUAAUCCGUUUUACCCUAUUUAGCAACAGUGUUGCCACAAUUUACCCUGUUCAAAAUUUUGUGGGUGUUCUGGUCGAUGGGUCCCAAUUGUAAGGUCCAGCUGGCAUGCCACAUAGGCGGAUUCUUUUCCUGAUGGUUUUCCUGCACGCCGAAUCACAUUGCCUAGCUUCUCCCGACCGGCCAACCUCGAUAUGAUCGCACCAGAGUAGCUCGUCGGAUGGCCAAGUCGCCCAGGUCGGGCCGCACCACAUUGGGCUCCAUUAUUCACGGCACACAUCACUCGCAUUCUAUUUGCAUGCAUGAUCCUACCCUAGUCUGACCCAAAACCACUGCCUCAUUCGUUAGGAGGGGGUAGGAAGACGUAGGCGACAACGGUAGGCAAGACUUCAAGGUGUGGCCGCUGGCGGUCGUUGGAGCAAACAACAACUAGUACGGCAAUCUUCUCCCAUCCCAUGCAUGCUGCAUCCUAUGUUUGUCACCCCUGGUGGUUAGGUUUUCUGUGGCUAGAUUUUCUCUCAGUCUAGGAUGCAUAUUAGAUAGGUUUAGGCUACUCGUUUCCAGUUCGAAGAAGUAUUGUGAUGAGAUGACUGUACUUGAUCAGCAUGGCAUGUUGCCAUUGAAUAAAUUAUAGGAGGAACUGUUGCUGAUAUAAUAUGAAAUCACAUAUAUUUUUCUUUAGUGUUAACAUAUACAACCUGAAGUAUGAAUGAUUCUGUGGAUCAGAUUAAAAAUAGUGUAAAUAGACCGCUUCACUAACUCUGAUGCGUACAUAUCCACAUACCUACACUACUGGGGAAAGUGCUUAUAGGUGAUCACAAAUCAGUGACGGGUGGGACGGGUCAGCCGCCACAGCUACUUUGAAAAGUUAGCCGUGGCGGGUGCUAAAGAGUGCCCACCACAAGUUGUUCAGAAGCAGUGGCGGGCAUUUUUCGCUGCCUGCCACACGUACGGUCUCUUCAUAUUUUUUUUGUAUAACUCACCUGUGGCGGGCGUGUCGCAAUGCCCGCCACAGCUACAUGCCCUGGCAGUGGCGGGCAGUUUCUUCUGACCGUCACAAGUUGACCUUGCACGAUGAACACUGAUGACAACAUAUUGCGGUGGCGUGUAAAUAAGCACGCCCGCCACAGGUAGACCCGUUCACUACCUACAUUGCAGUUUUCCCCGGUCGUCUCCCCCCCCCAAAACCACCCUUCCCUCUCCCGUAAACGCAAUUUCAAAUCUCUCCGCCGCUCUCGCCCCCAAACCCCGUGCCUCGUCGCCACCCGGCCUCUGGUGCGAUCAUAUCGAGCUGGCUAGUUGGGAGAAGCUAGGGUGAUCUGGUCAGCGUGUAGAAAACCAUCAAGAAAAAACCCGGCGAUUUGGCAUUCUAGCUGGACCUUACAAUUCAGACCCAUUGGUCAGAAUGCUCACAAAAGUUUAAACAGGGUAAAUUGUGGCAAACUUUUUCUAAAUGGGGUAAAACGGAUGGAACCCCGCUAAAUGGGGUAAUUGGUGUAAGAAAUGUCAAAAUACGGGGUUCUAAAAUUAAUCAGCCAGUCUAGAGAAAUCUUCUGAUAAUAAUUAAAUUAGUUAUUCAUAAAGUUUAGAAUGUUUUAUAUCUUAAGAAAAAUUGAUAACAUGGUCACUAACUUAAAACGCUGGAAAAAGAAUAACAAGAUUUUCAGACUAAAUGCCGGGAAGUACACAAUAUGGCAGGUAGCAAGGAUUGCUCUAGAGACACUGCCUUUGAGUUCCUGCUCAUCUCUUUGUACAUAAGAGAGUGGGAACAACAGACAAGUGCAUGCAAGUCUGUUACUUUCAUUUGGCGAUUCCUCUCAAGCAUUGAAUGCACUCGUCUGCAAUCCGCUUAGCAUAGAAUUUGUAUGACUGGUCUAGCUGUAUAUGACUUUCCUGAUCUGCAUGAUUAAGUUAGUUAGGCUCAUCUAAAUCGUAUGGCAUAUAGCUGUAGUAGUAAUGCUAGUAGUAUAAAUACCGUUAACUUCUCCACACUUCUCCACAUUGCACCCAUUCUCAAUUCUACUGCAUAUAUUUCCCUAUAUUUCCCUAUAUUUAGUAGUGUAUGAGAUAUUGGAGUACACCAAAAGGUAGAAGGUUUGAGGUUCCGGCUGUAUCCUAUAUUAUGAUUAAAAUAUUGUCUUCCCACUAAUGUCUGCUUCUCUUGUGGACGCCAGUGUGCGGUGGCGUGCAGUCUGUGCACCUUAUGUUGGUGAAUCGAAGUCUGAAUAGGCUAGUUACUAUCACAUCCAUUUUGGCACAACAAGGAUGAAUUAUUCAACGAUUGAUGGCAAAGGCAGUUGAUAGCAACUCAAAUACACACCACACGUGCAAUAUCUCCAUUGUUGACCAAGAUCCCGGUGCCGCACCAAGGAUUCCUGGGUGCAUCCAAGCGCGGCGGAACGCCAUGGUUGUGCUUUCGGGUCACGAACCACAGUUCAGACCUCCCUCCCAAUCGCAUCAUGUGUGCCCACGCAAUCACCUG